RNAcentral lists this long non-coding RNA (67147 nucleotides) under Pelobates cultripes (western spadefoot toad). The record is from RNAcentral. Lineage: Eukaryota; Metazoa; Chordata; Amphibia; Anura; Pelobatidae.
AUGGGACACACAGCUCUUGUACUAGCAUUGAUGCUGAUAUGGAAGCUGCAGGCUGAAGGCGUAAAACUUGACAAGGGAGGUAAGUUACAUUGUUUAAAAACGGCAGCGUUCUGGAUUGCAUUAGACGUUCCAAAUCAACGUGUCUUACUUGUCUAGGGGUUGAACUGCCUACCCACGGCACGGGCGCUAGCUGCUCCUAUCCGUGCGGAUAUGGUUUGAAUGCAUGCACAUUAGCCCUUUAAGGACCAAUGGCCAUCUAUGCCAUUAGAACUAACUGGCUUUCGUUUUCUAAGGAAUGCCAAAAUCAAUUAACAAUGACCAGUGACAAUGUAUAAUUUAACUACAAAUUCCCAAGUAGGAUUUCCUUAAAUCUUCAGGAUUGUCAUAACAGCAAAUAGUAACAUAUAUUCCUUAACCCCUUAAGGACACAUGACAUGUGUGACAUGUCAUGAUUCCCUUUUAUUCCAGAAGUUUGGUCCUUAAGGGGUUAAAGGGUUAAUAUACAAUUCUCUUGGGCUGUAUGUAGGCAGCAAUAAGGUAAUUUUACCAGAUAAAGGGUCACAUUAGGGAACGAGGAUUAUAGAUGCAAAAAAAAAAGGGAUUAUUCUUUUACAGUGCUAAAUAAGGGGCCAUGGAAACCAAUAAAAUGUCUUGCAACAUUUAGCAUGUCCCCCAUAGUACUAUAUGUGGUAUUGCAUUAUGGAAGUUGUACUUUACUGUGCAUUUAUACCAAUGGUAUAGUCAUUUAGACGAAAAUCAGUUAUAGAUAGAAAAAUAAAAAAGUAUGCUUUGAAUACAUGUUAUACUAGUCCGCAGUGGUAGCAAAAUUAAUCGUUAAUUAAUUGCACGUUUUGCAUGUUUUUUUUUCUUCUUCUGGUGUUUUGCUCAUCAUGCUUGUUGCUUGUGUGGUCAGAUAAAAUAAAUAAAAGCAAAAUAACGAGCCCUCUGCUGCUGUUAUAAAGUUAUCAACUCUUAAAUAUCAAAUUGAUUAUUGCAUGUUUAUUAUGUUUGCUUUGGUAUGUGUGAUAAUCAGCACAUUUGUUUCUCCUGGUUUUUGGCACACAAAGUAAUCUCAACUAUUUAGUAAAUUGUUUUGUGUUUCUACACAUGUUUAGGGAAAGCCAUGCUUUGCUUUUGAACUUUUGGCUCUCUUACUGCAUUUAGUCGUCAGACUCCUGCUGUUUUGUAUUCAGUGUAUAAAAACUGGCCUAAGUCUAGUUAAUAACUGUAGUUCUGUUAUUUUUUGUUGUCAGAUCCCUGAUACAUAAAGUAGGUUAAUUUUAUUGGGCUAGCUGCACAUUGUAUAGAAAAGCAAAUUACAAACACAUGGUAUAUAUAUAUACAUGAGACUAAAAUACAAAUAUUUGUAAAGCGUUUUCUAAGGCGGGGUGCCCAAAAGGUAGAUCCCCAGAUAUUUUAAAACUACAGCUCCCAUGAUGCUUUCACAUGCUAAAAGCAUGCACAGCUUCAUGGAAGUUGUAGUUCUUCAACAUCUGGGGAUCUACCCUUUGAGCUCCCGUGGUCUAACAUACAUCAAUUGAUUUUAGAUUAGCUUAUUUUAAGAGUUAUUAUUGAGUAACCCCCUUACAGUUACAAAGCCUUGCCUCUGCAUACUUGCCACAAUACCUUUCUACAGGAUUCAUAUAUAUUGCAUAGUAGAACGUGUCUAACAUACACCAUUUGAGAUUGUUUGUUUUUCCUUCCGAAUCAUGAUAAGGAUUGACUAGAAGAUUUACAGGAAUACGACAGAGCUUUUUAUGGAAUCAUAGUUCCACGUAAAUCAUAUGCCGUACCAGUAGUAUUUACAGGAAGUUAUUACUCUAGUAAUGCUGGGAUUCUUCCAAGACAAAUAAGUAAUGUGUGCAUCUAAAGAACAGGAUAUUGUGUGUGAAAUCAUCUCACAUAUUAUCUAAACUGAGAAUUGCGGAGAAUUUGCAAUUAUAUUUACAUAAUUAGACCAAAUUACCUAUUUUGCAAAGACAGCAAUUGUUGAUUACUUUUCUCCAGUUUCAGCUUAAACCUUCCUUGUAAAGUUUAUAGUGUAGUAAAUAUAAUGUAGGAUAUAAUAUCUCUCUCACUUAUCAUUUGUGUUAAUUAGCUAACAUGUUGGUAAUCCAACUGCAGUGAUAGAAGUAUUUACCACUAGAUAUUUAUGUAUAUUAUCUCAAUAUACCCGGUAGAUACCCUUAUUGAAACUUGCACUAACUACAUGGGGUGAAUAUUCAAGAGUGGAUAGAUUUACGUGUGUGUUUGGUCCAUGUAAAAUAAUGUAUUCCCUGCAUAUAACAUGUCAAACAAAGUAUAUUUUUGUCUGAUUAAACAAACAUCAUAAUAAAAACUGCGUGUUCUCCAUUACCAGAACUGUUUGUCUGCUGACAAUGUGUCCCCCAAUGCCAAUACUGGAGGUCUGCUGAUAACGUGUUCGCUAAUGCCAGUACUGGUAUAUUCCGAUAAUGUGUCUUUCAGUAACAGCACUGAUUGUCUUUUGAUCAUUUGUCCACCAAUAAUAUCACUUAAAUGACUCCUGCUAAUGUUUCCCCUAGUACAUGUAAUGUGUCUACUGUUUGUGUCCCCCUAUACCGGCACUGUGUGUCUGCUAAUAAUGUGCUCCAAAUUCCAGCAGUGUUUGUUUUCUGUUCAAUCAUGCUGCUAGACUAUCCAUGCUGCAAGACCAUGUUUCCAUGAAUAGAUCAUUAUGGUCUUGCACAGGGCCGCCAUCAGGGGGUGACAACGAUGAUGGUUGUCACGGACCCGUCGAUCCUGGGGGGCCCGUACUGCUUUGGCAGACCCGGGCCCCACAUUGCCUCUCUGCACACAUAGAUAGCGAAUAUCGCUAUCUAUGUGUGCAGCUGCGGGCCCCCGGCUCCCUAUACUUGCAGAGGGGGCCCAGCAGACUGCAAGUGUACUUACUAGCUCUUCCCUCCCUCUAACUCCUGCGAGAUGUGCGGCCAUCAGAGCGUUGCCACGGGUUACCAUGGCAACGCUCUGCGCAGCACGCACGCCGCACUCGCGGGAGUUAGAGAGAGGGAAGAGCUUGUAAGUACACUUGCAGUCUGCUGGGCCCCCUCUGCAAGUAUAAUGAGCCAGGGGGCCCCACAAUGCCACCAGACCACCAGGGAAUGGAAUCUCCCCCUCUCCCUGGACCAAGUAAGAACCAGGGAGGGGGAAUAACAUUUUUGGAAUGCUCCAUUUACACUACACUAACACACACACUGCAUUCACUACACUAACACACACACACUGCAUUCAUUACACUGACACACACUGCAUUCAUUACACUGACACACACUGCAUUCAUUACACUGACACACACACUGCAUUCACUACACUGACACACACACUGCACUCACUACACUAACACACACACUGCACUCACUACACUAACACACACUCUGCAUUCACUACACUAACAAACACACUCUGCAUACACUACACUAACACACACUCUACAUUCACUACACUAACACACACUCUGUAUUCACUACAAUAACACACACACUCUGCAUACACUACACUAAUACACACACACUCUGCAUCCACUACACUGACACACACUCUGCAUUCAUUACACUGACACACACUCUGCAUUCACUACAUUGACACACACUCUGUAUUAACUAUACACACAAGAUCCACUACACAAACAUCCUGUUUUCACAGUACACACACUACAUCCACCACAUAUUCAAACACUCUGCAUUCACUACAGAGACACUGCGUCUAAUACACACACUACAUCCACUACAGACACUGCAUCCACUAAACACAUUGCAUCUAGUACACACAAACACUACAUCCACUACACAAACACACACUACAUCCACUACUCAAACACACUCUGCGUUCACUAUACACACUGCAUCGCUACACAAACACACACUCUGCAUUCACUGCACAAACAGUAUCUAAUACACACAAACACUACAUCCAUUACACACAUUCUAAUUCACUUCCACUAUACACACCACAUUCAGUCCUGCAUCCUUUGCAGCGGACUAGGUAGGAGUCCUGUGGGCAUGCCGGGCAGGGGGAGGGAGGUGUGGGAGCCCAGACCUUGUGCUUUGUCAGGGGCCCCAAAAUUUCUGGUGGUAGCCCUGGUCUUGCAUCCUCAAGUCUUUUAGGCAGUUUUUCUUCUGUUGUGGCAAAUGUCAUGUCAUGUGUUAGCAUAAUUUAUUAUAUUAGAGCCUGAAUAGCGUAAUUCAUUAAACAAAGCUGUUUCCUGCAUACCGAGUAAUACAUUAUUUGCUAUCUGUUUAUAACGCUUUCAGUGCCAGACAUGUCACACAUUGUUUUCAAAUGUGAAGGUAAAAUCCCUGCCAUUUAAAGGGUUAACAUUUGAAAUACAGAUUUUUUAUUUUUUUAUUUUGACAAACAUUUUGAUAUCCCUUUGUCCAAGGGUUAUUUGGGAUUACAUAUAUUUUGGACAGAUGUCUUUUUGGAACUUAUGCCAUAUGUUUGUUCCAAAAUAAUUUAUUGCUUUCUCUUAAGAAUGAAUGCAAUUGUCCAACUUCUGAACCAAAACGAAACAUGGAAUUUGUGUUUGUUCCACCAUAAUUUAAGGGUUUCUCUUUAAGUACCCCCAUAGUCUAUAUGUGCAACUAACAAACUAACACAAAAUUAAAUGUGAAUCAAUUUCAAACUGGAAAAAAUUAGAAGAAAACAUCUGAUUACAUUUUUGCUUUUAAUAACUUUUACAUAUCAAGUGCAAUGAACUAUAAAGAACUUAAAAUAGAUUUGCAUAUCAAUCCUGAUUGUUAUGUCUAAGAUCUACCUUAAUUUUUGGUAGUUAACAAUGCUACAGUAACUCUAACCCCUACACUACUACUAACUCCAAAACAGAAUUAACCCUACCCAACAUUAAAGGAUCACUAUAGGGCAGUGAUGGCGAACCUAUGGCACGCGUGCCACAGGUGGCACGCCGAGCCCCCUCUGUGGGCACGCGGCCAUAGGUCGCCGGUGGGAGGGAGGGUGUGCUCCGCCGGCGCAUCCAUAAGGCGCCACAAGUGGCCGCCUUAGGUCGCACCGGCCCGGCGGGCGCAAAGCCGGAGUGACCAGCAGGAGGUGAGCGCACAGCGCUCCCUCCUGCCAGGCACUCUGUGUAGCGUGGCCGAUGGCGCCGCGGUACAGGAACUUAUGCUUUCUGUGCCCGGGCGGACGGAAAUGAAGUGCUCACAGAGAGAGCACUUCCUGUCCGCCGGGUACAGGAAACUGAGUUCCGCGGUGCGCUCGGCCACGCUACAAGGUAGGAGCUCAAGGGGAGGGGGAGAAAACUGAGGGAGGUAAAGGGGGAGAAAACUGAGGAGGUAAAAGGGGAAGAAAACUGAGGGAGGUAAAGGGGGGGAAAGAAACUGAGGGAAACUGAGGGAGGUAAGGGGGCUUAAAACUGAGGGAGGUAAAGGGGGAAGAAACUGAGGGAGACUGAGGGAGGUAAGGGGGAGAAAACCGAGGGAGGUAAAGGGGGAAGAAAACUGAGGGAGGCAAGGGGGAGAAAACUGAGGGAGGUAAAGGGAGGAAGAAACUGAGGGAGGUAAAGGGAGGGGAAAGAAAACCGAGGGAGGUAACGGGGAGGAAGAAACUGAGGGAGGUGGGGAAGAAAACUGAGGGAGGUAAGGGGAGAAAACUGGGAGGUAAAGGGGGAAGAAAACUGAGGGAGGUAAGGGGAGAAAACUGAGGGAGGUAAGGGGGGGAAGAAAACUGAGGGAGGUAUGGGGGGGAGAAAACUGAGGGAGGUAUGGGGGGGAACUGAAGGAGAGAUGGGGGAGAAAACUGAGUGUGGGAUGGGAGAAAAAAAUGAGGGAGGGAUAAGGGAAAGAAAACAGUGGGGGGAGGAGAGGGGGAACCACACAGCACCCCUGCCCUACACAUAUCACCCCACACAAAGACACACACCACCACCCCCACACACACACCACCACACAUCACCCCACACACACACACCACCCCCCCACACAAACCACCCCACAUCAACCCACACACACACACACACACACCACCCCACACACACACACACACCACCCCACACACAAACACAUCACCCCACACACAAACACAUACACUGUUCCCAUCAGUGCAGUGUGUGUACACUCAGCAGUGUGUGUGUACUCAGCAGUCUGUGUGUGUGUAUUUAGCAGUCUGUGUGUGUGUGUGUGUGUAUUUAGCAGUCUGUGUGUGUACUCGGCAGUCUGUGUUUGUGUGUAUUUAGCAGUCUGUGUGUGUAUUCAGCAGACUGUGUACUCAGCAGUCUGUGUGUGUAUUCCGCAGUCUGCUAAAUACAGACAGACUGCUAAGUACACAGACAGACAGACUGCCGAGCACACACACAAACUGCUUAAUACACACAUGUUAAUUAGUUCGGACAACUGAGUUGUUUUUUCUAAACUUAAACCUCAGUAUUCAGGUUUAAUUGGCGUUUUGGCACUUUGAGGAAAAAAAAAUUGGCAUGUAUUACGGUUUGGGCACUCGGGCUCAAAAAGGUUCGCCAUCACUGCUAUAGGGUCAGGAACACAAACAUGUAUUCUUGACCCUAUAGUGUUAACACCACCAUCUAGCCCCCCUGUGCCUCUCAUGCCUCCAUAUCUAAGUAAAAAUCUUACUGUAUUCAAGCCUGAAGCUGUAAAUCUGCAUGCUGUUAGACUCAGAAAAACAAGCAGUCUACAUGUGGUAGCCUGAUCCAAUCACAGUGCUUCCCCAUAGGAUUGGCUGAGACUGACAAAGAGGCAGAUCAGGGGCAGAGCCAGCAUGAUUCAAACCAGUGGCGUAUACAUGACCCAUGGGGCCCCGGUGCGAAAAUUGAUCCGUGGGCCUCCCCCGCCCACGCUUACUCAGCGCGGUUCGGGGCCGCAACACAUGGCGGCGGGGACCUGGUCGCAGGGGUUGCAGGGCUGCGACCCCGCGACUGCGGUAUGCACACACACUUAAAGGACCACUACAGACACCCAGAUCACAUCUAGUCCCUCUAGUUUUAACCCUGCAGCUGAAAACAUAGCCGUUUCAGAGGGUUAAGCCAGCCUCUGAGGGCUGUCUCAUUGACAGCCACAAGAGGAGCUUCCACGAUUCUCACUGUGAAAAUCACAGUGAGAAGACACUGAACGUCCAUAGGAAAGCAUUGAGUAAUGCUUUCCUAUGGGCGGUUUAAAUACGCGCGCCUCUUGCCGCGCAUAUGCAUUCGGAGCUGAGAGGCGGAGGGAUCCCCAGCGCCAAGGGAGUCUGACGCUGAAGAAAGGUAAAUGCCGAAGACACACACACACUCUCUCACGAACAGAGGCAUACACACUAGCUAACAGACACACACAUUUACUGACAGAGACACACUCAGUGACAGACAUACAUACACACUCACUUACAAAACAUACACUUUCACUGACAAACACACACUCACUAACAGACAUCAAACACACUCAGUAACAGACACAGACAGUAACACUCACUAGCAGACACACACCCAAUAACAGACACACUCACUGACACACAAACACUAACACAUACACACAAACACUAACAUACACACAAACACUAACACACACAAACACUAACACACACACACACUAACAGACUAACACACACACACACACACACACUAACACACACACACUAACACACACACACUAACACACACACUAACACACACACUAACACACACACACACUAACACACACACACUAACACACUCACACACACUAACACACACACACACACUCACACACACUAACACACACACUAACACACACAUUUUAAAAAAAAAAUAAUCCCCCCAGCCUCCUUACCUUUUGGAGAGCUGAGGGGAUUCCCUGGGGUCCAGUGGUGCUGCUGGGCGGGCUGGCUGUCUGGGUGGCCGGUGCGCGAGGGAGCACUCUCCCCUGAGUGCUUCCUCUUCAGCUCCCUCACGCGCCGCAUAGGGAUGCCGGAGCCGGAAGAUGACGUCAUCUUCCGGCUCCGGUAUCAGUGCGGUGCGCGAGGGAGCUGAAGAGGAAGCAUAUGCAUUCGGAGCUGAGAGGCGGAGGGAUCCUCAGCGCCAAGGGAGUCUGACACUGAAGAAAGGUAAAUGCUGAAGACACACACACACUCUCUCAUGAACAGACGCAUACACACUAGCUAACAGACACACACAUUUACUGACAGAGACACACUCAGUGACAGACAUACAUACACACUCACUUACAAAACAUACACUUUCAAUGACACACACUCACUAACAGACAUCAAACACACUCAGUAACAGACACAGACAGUAACACACUCACUAGCAGACACACACCCAAUAACAGACACACUCACUGAUACACAAACACUAACACAUACACACAAACACUAACACACACACAAACACUAACACACACACACACACACUAACAGACUAAAACACACACACACUAACAGACUAAAACACACACACACUAACACACUAACACACAAACACACACACACACACUAACACACACACACUAACACACUAACACACACACACCAACACACACACACCAACACCACACACACACUAACACACACACACACACACACCAACACACACACAUUUGGGCUCAAUCCCCCAGCCUACCUUUGGAGAGAGAGCUGAGGGGAUUCCCUGGGGUUCAGUGGAGGCGGGAGUUGAAGUCAGGCGCGAGCAUUUCGAGUGCUUCAGCUUCCUCACCAAGAUACAGCCGGAGCCGAAGAUGACGCCAUCUUCCUCGCCCGUAUCAGUGCGGUGCGGAGGGAGCUGAAGAGGAAGCACUCAGGGAGAGUGCUCCCUCGCGCACCGGCCACCCAGACAGCCAGCCCGCCCACCAGGAUCAGCAGGGUCAGCCUCGGGGGGGCCCUGAGAUGGCCGCCUCCUGGGCCCCCCAGGAGAAGAGGCUGGCCCUGUGGGUACAUACCGGGUCGCAGGGGCGACCGGGCCCCUGGUGGGCAGGGCCAAGUCGCAGCCGCGACCCCUGUGACCCUGGUAUGUACGCCACUGAUUCAAACACAGCCCUGGCCAAUCAGCAUCUCCUCAUAGAGAUUAAUUGAAUCAAUGAAUCUCUAUGAGAAAAGUUCAGUAUCUGCAUGCAGAGGGAGGAGAUACUGAAUCACAGGAUGCUGUGCACAGUGCUGCCCUGUGCUCUGCUGACAGCAGAUCUGAGUGGAUGGAGGCAUAUUAUGCCUCUAUCAACUCCGAAGUCCCUCUGGUUCACUCUGAGUGACUGCAACUGGAGGUGUUCCUAGCUUUCAAUGUAAACACUGUAUUUUCUUGGAAAAGACAGUGUUUACAUGAUAAAGGCUGCCGGGAGCUAUAGUUCUCACCUGAACAACCUCAUUAAGCUGAAGUUGUUCAGGUGACUAUAGUGUCCCUUUAACCCUACAUCUAACCCUCCCCCUAAACCUAAAAGUUCCUCUCUGCUAAUAUCAACACUGAUUUAAACAGAGGAAUUUCUAAGCCAAAUCAGUAGAGAACAUUCUAUGAUCACCAUCAGCAGGACAGGGAGAUGUCACUGUAAUGCUAAAGCUCUUUAUGCUGCGGCCACACUGUAAUCGGUGCUGGGCAGAUGGCUCCAGUUGAGCGAGAGAAGCUCCAUAUAUCAAAUAAUACUUGGGUCAACCUUGUGGAGCAGGAAUUUAACCCAACCCACAAAUUGUAGUUGCUUGGUUUUAAAUUCCCUUUAAAGGAGCUGUAUGCAGCACCCACUUUGAGCGCAGCAUACAGCUCCUUAUUAAAAAUGUUCCUAUCUGACAGUAGGGAGUCCAAUGAUUUAAUCAUACUGGGCUUUCUAGGAUGUAAUGACAUAUUCUUUUUUCAUUCAUAUUGUAUAUUGGUCUACAGGACAAAUAGGGCUUUGGUCUGAUAUCCAAUGUGUAUAUGGCUUCCAGCGUUAUCACUACUUUUUACUGGCUGACCAACCAUUAUGUCUGAUAACAAAGACCUCUCACAUAUUAGCUGCUUGCUGGUAAAGCUCAGAAAUAUACACCAUAGCACCUUGCAAGUAAAAACAGUCAUCACAGACUAAAGCCAACCUGCAUCCAUUUACUUUCAAAACCUGCCCUAAAGUGUACAAGGAUAGGAUAACAAGGACUGUCUCUACAUUAUAACAAUUUAAUUUUAUUUAAUUGUGGCAAAACAGGGCUUCAAAGUUGGGCUUGUAGCUCUUCCUACAGACCCUCUUCAUUUGUCAGUUAGAUCCUAGCCCUCUCAUACAUUGUCGGUUCUCUUAAGUGUCCCAAUUUUUAGUGGGAGAGUCCAUAUUUACAGGAAGGUCCUGUUCCGCCAUCCCAAUAUUUUUAUUGGGGACACCAGAAUACAGUCCCCAGGCAGCACAAUGUUAGUGCAUGUUGGUGCCAGGUUGACACUCCCCGUUAGUAUACAUGUAAUUAUCCUUCACUAUAGGUAUAAUUGUGUUUGCCACUAUUAUUGUGUACCCUUUACAAAUGGGUUCUCGCAAUUACUCGACUUGUUCCCUCGGGACCCUUCCACUUUGUCUCGUUUCCUUAACACCCAGUGUUUGGAAGUAUGCAUACUGACAGGUGAGGGACUUGUAUAUGUUGCUCACUGGGAGUGAAUAAGUAAAAGUACAAGGAAUGUGCCUGUUUCUAUGAUAUUCGGUGCUGCAUCCUGCCAUGCGUGUGAGCAGCACCAGCAUUCACGGGCACAGAUCCACUAGUUUGACUUGAAAGUACCCAUUCCUGGAGAGAAGUAUAUGAAAUUCCCUCCCACAUCAACACAGACACUGUUCUUGGUGAAUGAUGUAGGUGUAAAUUACUUUGCCACUAUUUAUACCCUAAGCACCAUAACCACUACUGCUUGAGGAGAGCUAUGUAAGUAUUAGGGAUGCACUGAAAUUACGUGUGGGAAGAAAACUAUGGGAUGGGGAGGGGGGGGCGAAGAACACUAUUGGACGGGGAGAGAGGGAAAGAACACUAUGGGGCAGGGGAGGGGAAGAACACUAGGGGAGGGGGAGAAAAGAACACCUAUGGGACAGGAGAGGGGGAGAAAAGUAUACUAUGGGACAGGGGAGGGGGGAGAAAAGACACUAUGGGACAGGAGAGGGGGGAGAAAAGAACACUAUGGGACAGGGAGGGGGAGAAAAGAACACCAUGGGACAGGGGAGGGGGGGAGAAAAGAACACUAUGGGACUGGGGAGGAGGGGGGAAAGAACACUAAAAAAGAGGGAGGGGAGAGGAACACUAGAGGGGGGAGAGGAACAUUAAGGAGGGAGGACUAAGGUACAGGGAAGGGAAAAGGAACACUGGGGCAGGGGGGAACCACUAAAAGAGAAGAAAGAAGGGAAGUUUUUCAUAUUAGAUUCAUUACAUUCAUUAAAAAGUCCAAUAUUAAUAAAAUUAUAGAAAAAAAACACUUUUAAAGUCAUUUUCGGUUUCGGUUUUCAGCCAAGGGCAUCCUGAAUUUUUGGUUUCGGACCAGAAUUUUCAAUUUGGUGCAUCCCUAGUAGGUAUUGGAGGUCAGGAAUGGCACGUGGCAAACCACAGGUUUGUGUUGAAAAACAGUUUAACUACUUACAAUGGGUGGGAGAGUGGCACCAGGGCACUCCUGCCACUAUAACCAUUACAGCGAGCUGUAGUGGUUAUGGUGCUUUGAAUGAUCCUUUUACUGUACCAAGAAAUUAUUGAACACCCAAAAUAUUGAAGUCUAAAUUUUUUUUCUUUCCCCACAGUGAUUUUAUAGAUAUAAAAAAUAAUGUAUAUUGUUCACAUUUAUUCUAAGUCCAAGUUUGCCAUAAAUAUGCAAUUGAUUAUUUUUUACACAAAUGGUUGUAACUAAAGCUGUGCUUUAAUAUUGAAUUUCGUGAUUUUACACACCUUUUAGAUAAUCUUGUAUAGAAGGAUCUAUAGAACAUCUCCAAACUGUUUAGCUACAGGGCCAGAUUAAGAGCCCAGUGGGCCUGGAGCUGACAAUUACGAUAGGCCUAAUUACAGAAUCUUAUUGACCAAAAACACAAACAGUCAUACCUCCCAAGCAUUAUGUAUCUGAUGGAGAUAAUGCUGGAGGGAAACUCAUAAAAUGCAACUAUAAGAAAACAGAUCCCCAAUGCUAAUUUCUCGCUUUCAUCUUUCAAGUAAAUCCAUACCCCUAACAGCAGUGUCCAGUGAAGCAGGAAGUCAAUGGGCACGGUAAAAGGGUGUGCCACUGAUACGAAUCACGUAACCAGAACUGUCAAAAAGCGACACCAUGCCCAAAAAGGGGGCAUGUCUGCCCAAAGUAUUGGAAGGCCUGCCUGGCAUGAAUGCAUGUCAAAACAAACCCUUAUUUGAAGUAUAAGAAAAAGGCAGGCUCCACACUUGGAGAAAGUAAAUACCACCUAACAGUACAAUAUCUAGAAUAAAACAAAAACUGCACAUAAUGUUAUACAGUACAGAAAAGGGUCAGGGGGGACGGGGGGGCAAGAGGGGAAAAGUGAGAAAACUCACAAGACGUCAGGAAAUUCAGGCUAAAGGGAUAAAAAUACGUCUGUUGGUACUUCAACUUGCAGCUGUAGAUUAUAAAAGGAGAGCCAAUAGCGUAAUAGGUUAAAACAAACACUUUUAAUGCUUAAAAUUGCACUUACAAGAGGGCAAUAUGUUAAGUCAUAUCUCCACCCAAGGUGGUCCCGGAACAGCACAUUGCAAAGGGUUAGAUGGAGCAGGAAAAAAAAAAAGAACAGUAAUAAAACAAAUAAAAGUCCCAAAAAUAAUAUCCAACGUAUUUCGUCCAAUCCGUGGACUUCCUCAGGGAUCUAUCAUGCAGGCUGGCCAACUAAGGGCAUACUAUGCAGACAUACCCCUGUGCUUGGCAUGAAUGCUCGCUCCAGGCUUUCUAAGGACUGUCCUAUAGAACUCACAUUUCCACUUGUCUCCUUACCUUCUUACUAGCAGGCAGAAAUCCCUGGUAUAUAGUCUGGGACAGAGAAAAGUUGUAUGUAGUGAGUUUAGAAGAAAGGGGAUGCUACAGUGUUAGAGAGACCAAAGUCAGCAUUACCUUAACGGAUUUCAUUGUCAGCCUGUCCACACAAGUUUUGUUCCCAUACAUCCCUCUUAAGUUUCCAUACUUAAGCAAGAUUAUGUGAAGAGUAGUUAGAGUUACAACCUGUCAUGGAUCGACCUUACUAAUUUGCAUAAUGAAUUAUGUAUGCAUAAUAAGAGAAAAUUCUGUAAAAUUACUUACAGUUUGAUUCUGCCGUAUAGAUGGUUUGCUCCCAGUGUCUGUCGCCCAGUGUCCCCAGGUCUCAGUGUCCCCUAUGUAUCAGUGUCUCAGUGCCCCAUGUCUCUUAGUGUCCUUUUGUGUCCCCAUCUCUCCCAGUGUCCCCUAGUGUCUCUGCCCUGAUGUCUCUCAGGGCAUUAGGACACUAGGGGACAUUGUGAGACAUGGAGACACUGGGAGACAUGGGGAUACUGAGACAUUUGGGGAUACUGGGAGAAAUGGGGACCCUGGGAGACAUGGGGGCACUUAGUGUCCCCAUGUCUCCCAGUGUCUCACUGUCCCUAUGUCUCCCUGUGUCCCCAAGUGUCCCAGUGUCCCCAAGCGUCUCAGUCUCCCCAGUGUGCCCUAGUGUCUCAGUGUCCCCUAGUGUCCUAGUGACAUCGGAACAUUGGGAGACUAGAGGACACUGGUAGACUAGGGAACACUGAGACACUGGGAGACUAGAGGACCCUGAGACACUAGGGACAAUGGGAGACUAGGGGACGCAGACACUAUGGACACUGGCUUGGAGAAAUGGAGACACUGAGAGACAUGGGAUAUUGUGUCCCUAGUGUCUCAAUGUCCCCAAGUGUCUCUGUGUACCCAAGUCUCCCAGUGUCCCAAUGACUCAGUGUCUCCCAGCGUUCCCAUGUCUCCCAGUAUCCCCGAGUGUCUCAGUGUUCCUGUGUCUCCCAGUGUCCCCAAGUGUCUCAUUGUCCCCAGGUUUCCUAGUGUCCCCUAGUGUCUCCCAGUGUCCCCAUGUCUCCCUGCAGCCUUUCCCCCCACCCUUCACUUACCUGAGCUGUAGGCUGUCUCUGCAGGCUGGGAGCUGCUGUCUGGGCUCAUUGUGCUGUGUAGCUGCUCCCCCGCGGAUCAGUGAGUAGAGAGAGGCGGGGAUAUGCUGUAACUUCCUAUCCCUGCCUCUAUCCAUACAGUGACCCCUACUAGCCUGCUGGUAUAGCAGAGUAAUCUCUGUUUAUACUGAAAAAAAUACCGGCAUUUGUAUUGCCAGUAAUACUGCAAUACAGGCACUGACCAGGCAGCAGGUAGAAUACCGGCCAGGUGCAACCCUAAGAGUAAUGUGUAAAAAAAAAAAAAAAAAGUGUACAAAAAAAAGUGUUUUUUUAUUUUAAUUUGUUAAAGGGACUCUCCAGGCAAACAAUUUUACUCACCUGAUUCCAGCGCCGGGAGCCUCGUGAAGCCGCGCCACAUAUUUCGUCAAAAUGAUGAAAUAGGCGCUUUCCCAUUUGGAAGCGUCAUCGCUCACUUGUGCGCAUGCGCGGCUUGGCCGCACAUGCGCGCAUACUUUUGAAGUCCUGAGCGCACUGCCGCGCAUGCGCGCGGUGUGCCCGGCUGCGAACUGACUGACAGCUCAGCUCGUGGUCUUUGCCCACCCCCACUCCUCUGCUGACAGGCAGAAGAGAGAAGGCGCGCACACAGUGCCUUCUCUCUAAUGCACACGUCAGACGUAUUUUAAUACGUCUGACAUGUGCAAGGCCUUUUUAGGGCCCUGCAUGAUAGGAAGUCCCUCUGGUGGCCGUCUGAGUGACGGCCACUGGAGGUAUUCCUAUCAAUCAAUGUAAACACUGUAUUUUCUCUGAAAAUACAGUGUGUACAUUAGAUUGCCUGCAGGGAGCUAUAGAUCAUACCUGAACAACUACAUUAAGUUGUAGUUGUUCAGGUGACUAUAGUGUCCCUUUAACUCAAUGGGCCUAUUUAAUGGGAAUGAGCCUGGAGCUGCAAUUCCAUCAGCCCGUAUGUUAAUCCGGCCCUGUUCAGCUAUCUCAAAGGAACAAUAUAAAUAUGUAUAGCUAUGUAUAACGUUUGAGGGUUUCUGGUGCCUUUUAGGAAGGCCCUCACUGUAAAAUAAUAAAGCAAAACUCUCUUUUUACCUAGCAAUCCUGGUCUUGCCACGACCACUGCUCAACCUUUAUGUGAGAAUGUCCAGAUGGAUGAUCUCAGCCAAUCAAAUGCUCCUUCAUAAAGAGCAUGUGCUAAACUAAUAAGAUCCUUUGUAUAGAGAAGUCAUAUAACACUUCUCUAUGUAGGCUUAAAGGACCACUAUAGGCACCCAGACCACUUCAGCUUAAUGAAGUGGUCUGGGUGCCAGGUCCAGCUAGGGUUAACCCUUUUUUUAUAAACAUAGGGGACCCUGAGGGUGGGGGCACCCUUAGGGCACUAGAGUGUCAGGAAAACGAGUAUGUUUUCCUGGCACUAUAGUGGUCCUUUAACAGCUGUCAGGAUUGUCUCGACACUGAAUGUGAAGACUACUUUUUUUUUUUUAACAACCUCUAGCUCCUGUUUGAGACAUGCUGUUUUGCAGUUUCACACUAGUGGCAAUGUUUGUAUUUGUCACAAUGCAGGAACAGCAUAUAUACAGUGGCAGCUCCUCUUUAACAUUGAUUACAAUUCUUUCAAGAUGUAAUUUGAGGGAUUAUUUUUCGCUGUCUGGUUGCUAAGGAGUGGCUAACAUAAUCCCUAAUAUAACUAUUUGCCCACAUUUUGUAUGGAUGACAAGGAAACAUUUAGGUAUGUAGAUCUGUGGUCUAUGCAUUCAGCUAGCAAACAUUGCCAGCAAAUGUAUACUUGUGCUGUACAUAGAUUAGCUGCUAUGCUCAGAAUGGCGCUAUUUGUUUCCAACAGUAGUUAGAAUGAUAGUGCAUGUUAGGAUUUAUGGAAUGCCAAUCACAUCAUAUGGAGUGUAUAAUUGCAUGUACAGACACACUUGGGUCCUCAUGGAAGUGGUCUUUUUACUUAUAUGCCAAUGGCAUGCUGAUUAUUCCACAGUAACCCACAGGAACAUGUGUGAGAAUUUGUUCCACCCUGAAAAAAGUCAUUUUAAAACCACUUUUAAGCUUUAAUUGUUUUGCUUGUGAAAAUGAAAAUGAACAUUGUAAUUAAGACCAGAAAUAAAUGAUAUAGAAAAUAACAAAACACUGCGUUUUUGGAAAAAGUUAAAGUUCCUUGAAGACUCUGUUGUAACAUUUAUUUUACAGUUAUAUUGAAGUUGGGUCCCUGAUAUGACCAACAUAUGUGUCCUGCAUUCUCAUUUGUGCCAUCUUUAGAGAGCUUCUAUCCUGAAAGUUAAACAUUUGUUUCUAAUCCUUUGUUUCCUUGAGGGUACAUCAUGAUGAACUAGAGGAACAAUAAGCACUAUAACAAGUACUGUAAUUAUUGUACUAGGGGUGCCCUAGCAACUUUCCAAUUAAGUGGUCAGAUGUUUGCUAAUGUUUUGAUGACUUGCCGAAGUCACGUCUUCCAUGAGAGCCGACAACUCUCUGCAUUGAGCUCAGGUGGUGGUGCAGGGCGAUAGCUGAUGAGCUUUGACUCGGUCAUUGCAAUGGGAGCCUCUCUAUUGGCUGUCAUACUGAAAAGUGGGAGGCACCUAUACAAACUUUUGUAAUUCCUACACCGUUCACCUGAUUUGGAUGUAAAAACCCUCAAAUUAAAGCUGAAAGUCUGCAGUUAAAGCACAUAUUGUUCAUUUCAUUUCAAAUCCAUUGUGGUGGUGUAUAGAGCCAAAAAGAUUAGAAUUGUGUCGAUGUCCCAAUAUUUAUAGACCUGACUGUAUAUUUAUUAGUGUCUUCAACAAAUGCAAUGCAUACAUAAAAUACAUAUACACAGACUGCUGCAUACCUGCACACACACACACACACACACACACACACACACACACACACACACAGAAUGUUGAGUACACACAGUCUGCUGAAUACAUACACACAGUCUGCUGAAUACAUACACACAAACACACACACAUACUGCAUUGAGGGGUGCAACGUAGUAUGUGUAUGGGUGCGGAGUGUGUGUGGAGUGCUGUAUGUCUCUGAGGGAUGCUGUGUGUGUGUGAGGUGUGCUGUUUGUGUGAGGGAGUGCUGUGUGUGUGUGUGUGGGGGGGGGGCUGCUGUGUGUGUAUUGAGGGGUGUUGUGUGUGUGGGUGGGUGCUGUGUGUAUUUGCAAGGGGGGCUGUUUGUGUGUGGGUGCUUUGUGUGUGUGGGGUGGUGCUGUGUGUGCGGGGGCGCUGUGUAUGGGGGUGGGUGCUGUGUGAGGGGGGUGUUGUGUGUGUGUGUGUGUAUAGGGGGUGCUGUGUGUGUGGAGGGGGGAGGUUGCUGUGUGUGGGGGGAGGAGUGCCACAAAUAUAUUAAUAAAAUCACAGCCAGCCCUGGUGGUCCGGUGGUGGUAAGUAUGUAGGACAGGAUCUGCAGCUCUCCUGUCCUCCAGCGGGCAGAAUGCUGUGUGUAUCAUUGCCACGGUAACGCGCAGCAACGCUCCACACAGAUUGCUCGCCGGAGGACAGGAGAGCUGCUUUCCAGAUCCCUCCCCCUGCUUCCGUGUCUUCCCGACACGAAAGCAGAGUAGGCGCUUUGGGGGGCAGGUGCCUAUUCUGCAUUGCAGCCAACCAUAGACAGGGCCCGGCAUGCCAUAGGCUCGCCAUCACUGGCUUAUUCACUAAAAUGUUGAAAAUUAAGUAGCAUAAAAAUAAUAAUAUACUACCAGUGGGGAAUGGGUGUUUGUUUGUGUGUGUGCUGUUUGUAUCAUUUGUACGAAUAAGAAGCGUCUUCUGCAGCUCUACGUAUAUCUAGCAGUGUGGAGUGCUUCCUUGGGAUCCAGUGGGGACCGGACUAGCCAGGUACAGUUUUAAGGGCAGGAGCUGCAAUACCUGCUGUGGGCUGCUCUGCUCCAGUGCGGAUUACCGUUCUCUUCACAUGCUCCUGCUUAACUACUGAAACUUAAGAGGGAUGUAGGGGAACAAAACUGGUGUGGGCUAUCUGACAAUGAAAUGAGUUAAGGUAAAGCUGACUGUGCACUAUGCAAAUGCUCUUGCUGUUUCAGUCUCUCUAACACUGUGGAAUGUUCCCUUUCUUCUACACUCACUACAUACACUUUUUUUUUCUGUCCCAGACUGUAUAACAUGAGCUUCUCCCAGCUAGUAAGAAGGUUGUGGGGUAUGGACAAGGGGACAGUCCUAGGUGGCCCAACCUUGACCUGGACACUGCUGUUAGGAGUAUGGAUUUACUUGAGAGAUGAAAGCGAGAGAUUAGCAUAGGGUAUGUGUUUUCUUAUAACUACAUCCUAUGAGCUUCCCUCCAGCAUCACCUCCAUCUGAUAGUUUGACGAUUGGGAGGUAGGACUGUUUCAGUGUUUUCUGUCGAUUAGAUUCUGUAAUUAGGCCCAUCAUAAUUGUCAGCACCGGGCCAAAUGGGCUCUUAAUCUGGCCCUCUGUAUGGGGGUUUAACCCUGUAAAGCACUGCAGUUUUGUUUUGUUUUUUUAUUUUUUUUGCAGGACAUAAAAUAAAAAAAGUAUAAAAAAUAAUUAUGCAAAUAAGUUUUUUUGUUUUUUUCUACUGGAAUAGAAUUAGUGCGCUAAAAGCAUUUUCCAGUUCAUUGAGUUUCUACUUUUCUUUCUGUUAAAGUAAGCCGUUGUGUGGGUGUAAAAUCCAAGAAUUUCCCAUUCCAAUUCAAAACUUAAAUUAGGACCCCAAGAAUGCAGUCAAUUUGGUCUUAAGAAAAAAGCUGUUAGGGAGACUUCUCCCUUAAAUGAUGAUAAGCCAGAGACCAUGCUAGCCACCUUUGCAGCAUCUUCAGCAGACUCAGCAAUGUCCAGCCCAAAACCUAGUAAGAGAAUGCCUGUAUUACAUUCUAAACCUCAAAUGCAGGGGAAAGGUAGAGUGUCAGAGCAUUCUGAAAAUGCUAAACUUAAUCAUAAAUGUUUACUGAAACAAAUGAGUAGCAGAAGCAGCAUCCUCACAAGUACUAGGAGCAAUGUAGCCAGGCCGUCAAUGCCACAAAUGUCAGAAACAACGUUAUAUUGUACAGUGAAAAUAGAGAGGGAAAAGAGGAAGAGCAGCAGUCUAUUGUGAGGACUCCAUCUCACGAAAAACAAAAAAGCAAAGGAUAAUAGGAGAAGUACUACUAGUUUGACACAGGCAGCAAUUACAUCUUCCCCUCCCCACAUGUUGUGCCAUAACCAGUGUCACACUAACUAGUACUAUUGCAGCAGGUUGUGGUACAAUAAAAAGCACAUUAAGAAUCAGCAGUGGUUCUUCAGUGCAGCACGAGAAGAGCAGCAGUGCUAUGAAAUCAACCAUUUUAUGUCGGUCUAGUGCACAGGAGAGAAGUGUGGGAUCAUUUUGAUAGUAUGGGAUGAGUGUGUGGCAAAAUGCAGGCUAUGUGUCAAAGACGUUAGCAGGGGAAAAGUUUUAGGACAUUUGACAAGUUCAGGGAUGAACAGUUAUCUCACAAGGAUGUUCUGUUACAGGAAAAGAGUGUUAGCAGAGUUAGCCACGGUGUAGUGCGGGUAGAAGGUUGAGCACCAGAAGAAGCGAUAUCUUCUAGCACCAGAAGGAAGCAGAAAGCUCAAGCUAGUCAACAGAGAUGAGAAGGGAGACAACACCAUCAGCCGAGCUUUGAGGAAUUUAGCUCUUUACAUGUAAGGGGCAUGUAAAAAAAGGUCUAUAAUUGCAGAUUUCCUGACAAAAAAUAGAGUACAAAUUUGCGCCCUACAAGAAACCCACUGGACAAGAUCCAAUAAAAAUAUAAUUAGAUCAUCAAGAUACCCCACUAUCAUAGGCACGGCUCUAGAGAAGAAAAGAAAAAAAAGGUGUAGCAUUUAUGUUUGCAAAACAUGUCUCCCUAAUUAUUAAACAUCAAGAAUUAGACCCAGAAGGACGUUCUAUUAUUUUAAUCUGCUAAAUAAAUAAUAAAUUAUUCACAUUAGCUAACAUUUAUGCAUCAAAGAAAACUACAAUAAAAUGUAUCACAAAAGUGUUUAAAUAAAUAGAGCAGAUUGAACAAGGGUUGGUAUUAAUCAUGGGGGACUUUAACUGCGUAGUGAACCCUUUGAAAGACAGAAAGAGCCAGAAUGACAGGAAUAGCAGGAAAAAAACUGAAAACAGAUUGCAAAAUUUACUAAAUAACCAUAAUUUAAGCAAUAUAUGGAGAACAUUUUACCCCUCUGACCUAGACUACACAUGCUAGUCUAGAACAUUUAAUUCAUACUCCAGAAUUGACCUCAUUCUGGGUAACAGUACCAUGUUAUAUCUUGUUAAAAGAAUAGAGAUACAGGAUAUAGCAUGGUCAGAUCACAAUCCCAUCAUGUUGGAAUGCAAAGAUAACUUUGAUACAUUCUGUAAAGAGUGGCGUGUAAAAGAUUUUAUAUUACAUAAAUAAAAACAAUGAUAAAGAAAUAUAAAGAAUAUAACAAAUCUUUUCUUUUCCGAAAAUAAAAAUAAAGGUACACCAGAUAUCACGGUCUGGUAUGCUUAUAAGAGCGUAGCUACAGGCCACUUGAUAAAAAUGGCAGCCUUGGCAAAUAAGAAAGGAUUACCGCCUCUCCAUAAUCUGUACAUAACACUAAGCAACAUGAGAGGCAGAAUAAAAUAACACUUUCCACACAAAUAGCAACAAAGAUUAUAGAAACAGAAAAACAGAUUAAUAUCCAAAUUAAUGAAUAAAGCAAACAAUCAGUUAGAUGCACUACAUUCCAAGUGGUAUCUAAAGGGCAAUAAACCAGUAACACUAAUGUCCAACAAAUUGAAAACAGAGAAACAGAAAAAAUGGGUAGAGCCUUCCAGAUAUUUUAUCAGAGUCUAUAUAACUUACCAGAAGAAACAUUUGGGGGGGGGAAAGAGACUGAGGAAUUCUUUGAAAAUUUACUCAUGCCAAAGAUUCUAACCGACCAAUUAAAGUGGAUAUACCAGCGCACAACAGAAGCAGAGGUCAGUAAAUCCAUAGAUAAGCUCAAAAUUAAGACUGCCCCAGGCCCAGACUGUUUCACAAAUACAUUUUACAAACUAAUAAAAAAGAUCAAAUAAAAGGGGAACUCACCAAUAUUUUCAACUACAUAAUGAAAACAGGAAGCUGUCCUGGAGAACUGUUGAGAGCGAACAUUGUUCCAAUCCCAAAAGCAGAUAAAGACCCAGAAUUGAUAGGUAAAUAUAGACCUAUAGCGUUAAUUGAUACAGAUAUUAAAAUAGUAUCUUCUAUUCUCGCAGAUAGAUUAAAAACAGUUAUACCACAACUAAUUAAUAAUGAUCAAGUAGGAUUCAUACCAGGGAGGUCCUCAAUCAACAAUAUUAGAAAAAUAAUAAACAUACUAGAAUUAACAGAAAUUAAAAAAAACCCUCUAAUACUACUGUCAAUAGACGCAGAGAAAGCGUUUGACAGGGUUGGCUGGGGCUUCAUGUUAGCUACCUUAAAACUAUAUGGAAUCACAGUAUCAAUACUACAAUACUAUCCGCCCUCUACAGUUCACCAUCAGCCAAAAUAAAAGGGUCAGGAUACACAUCACAAAUUUUUAGAGUAAAAAAUGGGACUAGACAAGGCGCCCCCUUUCCCCUUUAGUGUACAUAAUGGUGUUAGAACCUCUCGCAAUUCUAAUAAGACAAAAUAAAAAGAUUAAAGGGUUUACGAACUCCCUAGGACAAAGUAAACUAAAUAUUUACUACAUCCUACUAACCUUAGAAGAACCAAAAACCUCAAUCCCAGAGCUACUGAAGGAGAUAAAUAAAUACUCUUGAGUGUCAGGAUAUAAAAUGAAGUUAGAGAAAUCAAUAUUUAUAGCAAAAACCUGAAUAAAAGGUUAAUCAACUUUCUUGUACAAAAUCUAGGGCUACCAGAAAACAAGGACAGAUUAAAAUAUUUAGGCAUAACAUUAACCUCAGAAUUAAAAGAAUUAAAAGAUAUAGUAGAAGCCAACUUUCUACCUCUAUUAACUCAAACUAAUAAAAAUUUAAGGGACUGGAAAGGCAUGGGAUUUUCUUGGUCAGGCAGGAUCAAUAUUCUAAAAGCAUAUGUUUUACCAAAAUGGUUGUAUUUAUGGAGAAUGAUCCCACUUAAUUUCCCAUAAAACUGGCUAUCUUUACUACACUCUUCCUUUCAUAAAUUUGUAUGGUGCUGCAAGAAAGCAAGAGUAAAAAUGAAAGUUUUGGCUUGAUCAAGGCAGGAUGGAGGUUUGAUUCGUCCGGAAACAAUACAAUGUUAUCAGGCCAGUAAACUUUUUCAUAUUUUACUAUCGCAAAAUAUUGCUGAAAUCCAAGCAACAUGGUACAAAAUGGAAAAAGUUAAAAUUGGGGUAGGAAAUCUAACGUCACUAUUCUGGGUACUAGAUGUAAAUAAAAAGUUCAUCAAAGAUGCACGAACUAAAUCCCAGAUACUCAAAGAAUUAACAAGUUGGUGGGACAAAUUAAAAAACAAUACAGAACUCAGAAACUGAAUAAUAGAGACGUUUCCUUUCUCUAGUAUUUCAGAUAUGUUGGAUAACAUAAAAGUAGAUGCCUGGAAGACUGAGGGGGGAUAAGGGAAUUUAAAAACAUAAUAACGGAACAUGAAAUCAAAAUCUACAAUCAAAUCGUGGAGGAAUUCAGAAUUCCCUCCAAAGAUACUUUUAACUAUCUGCGAAUUAAGAGGUUUUUUUUAACAAAAUAUCUCCUCCAAAAUGAAGGGGAGAAAGUUACAAUGCUUGAACAUCUAAUUGAAUUAAAGAACUAUAGAAACUGAUAGAACUGAUUAACAAAUGGGGAAAAGAACUACAAAUACAUAUAGAAGAAGAAAAGUGGAUAAGCUCUCUAAACAGAUAACAUAAAUAUGUACAUUGUUUAAACCUUACAGAAACCCAAUUUAAGCUCUCAAACAGAUGGUAUUUAACACCGAAACAAUUAAAGAAAAAUUUUCCAGAUACAUCAGAUAGAUGCUGGAAAUGUCACAUUAAUGUAGCAAUUUAAUCCACAGUUGGUGGCAGUGCAAACCAAUAAAUAACUUCUGGAAAGAUGUAAUCAAGGCAAUAUAUAAAUUAACAGAUAUAAAAUUAGUUUUCCAACUAGAAGUGGUUCUGCUAAACUUGUACUGGCCAAAAAUUACCCAAAAAAUAUUAAGGAUAAUUUUACAUAUAAUUACAGCAGCUAAACUGCUUUUAGCACGAAACUGGAAAACAGAGACAAUCCCACGCAUCCAAGAAUUAAUAACACAAGCCUUUUGGCAAGCAAGAAUGGAAAGGGGUAUCUUGGUGAGUUUAGGAAACAGAUAUACUCAAAUAGAAGACUGGGAGAUUUGCAUAGGUAAAAUGGAAAGGUUAAACUAACAAUCAACACCGCCAUCACUCCCCCCCCUAAUGAACCCAGUAUGUAAAAAUUAGCGGUGGCAGUUAAGGACCAAACUUAGUAAAAAGAGGGCCAGAAAGAAAAGGAAAGGAAAAGAGAGAAGGAAAGGGAAGGAAAAGGGAAGGAAAAAGAUUGAAGGGAGAAAAGGAAAAGGAAAGAAAAAAGAGAAAAGAAAGAAGUAAAGGAGAGGGGAGAAAAAGAAAAAGAAAAGAUUUCACAUCCUAAACGGCAGACAAAACAGAAUAAUAAAAUAAGAAUAAUUUACUAGAUAUAAGUGAUUCUCACUCUCGCCAAAAAAAGAAGAAAAAAAAAAAAAUAUAUAUAUAUAUAUAUAUAUAUAUAUAUAUAUCUAAAAUGAACACCUCAGGAUAGUUUUUUUCUAUCACUUACCAAAAAUCCAUAAAUGUUUGUCUAUUUACCAAGUGAUUUCAAAGAUUUGCAGGGUUAGUUAAGUCUUAAGUCUUUUGAUCAUGUAGUUCGUAUGGCUGUUUCUUAGUGCAGUCUGUGCAGAUUUUAAUUUUAAUUUUAAAGAAUACUCCAACCUUCAUGACAAUUUAAAAUUGCUAUGGGGUAAGAGUGUCCAGGCUCCUUCUCACCUUCAGGGAAUUUUCUCAUUUCUUGUGUUUUCUGUUGCUCAGGAUUGUUUUUAUUUUGAGAGAAAGAUGUAAUGCAAACACUGUUGGGGGGAUACUCCCACUAGGGUGCCACCAAACAGGGAAGGCCAAUUACCAAGUAAUUGUCAGAAAAUAAAUAAUGUUUCAGGCCCUAAAGCUAAAUCAAGUGAGCAGGUUUAUUGCAACAGAUGAACAGCAACGAUUCGGCCCACAACAGGGACUUUGUCAAAAUUGACAAAGGCCCUGUUGUGGGCCGAAACGUUGCUUUUCAUCUGCUCCAAUAAAUCGGCUUACUGGAUUAAGCUUUAGAACCUCAAACAUUAUUUAUUUUCUGAGGCCCUGUUGCUUCCUGGGAUCCAGGAGAGUGCGGUAUCCUUAACGGUAAUUAAAUUCCCAAGUAAAGUCAAUCUUCAAAAUACACAAUGUCUGUGCACACCCGUGGUAAGAGUGCCAAAUUGUUUGUUUUCUAUGCUUCUUCAAUAAAGACUGCUUUAUUAGAAAACCAUGGGUGUGCCAAGACGUUGUAUAUUUUUCAGGUUUGGUUUUAUGGCUGUCAGACUGUUUUGUUGUUUUUAAAUAAAUGUACAAUUCAUUUAACAAAACGUAUUGUAUUUUGAACCUAAUUUAGUGUAGUGGUGUCAAUAUAGCCAGCAGGGCCACCAUCAGGGCGACAACUAUGACGGUUGUAAUUGGCCCAGUGGUCCUGAAGGGCUCGGAAAGUUCCAAGCCCCACAUUGCCUAUGUACAAAUAUAUAUAUAUAUGUGUGUGUGUGUGUACCUGCGGACCCGCGGCUAAGUGUUCGUUGCAGAGGGGGCCAGGGACACUGAUUCCACUUCCCAGCAGCUCCCCUGUCUCUAACGCUCGCGAGCCCUGCGGCCAUCAGAGUGUUGUCACGGCGAAGCUCCGCACGGCACGCAGGCCGUGAGAGUUAGACACUGAGGAUCUGCUGGGAAGUGAAGUCAGAGUGUGCUGCUUGGCCCCCACUGCAAAGUUCAACGGCUUGCUCCGAGCACCAAGCCACCUGACCACCAGGGAAUGCGAUCUCCCCCCUUCCUGGCCGGGUAUGAAGCAGGGAGGGGGGACUAAAAUAAAUUUAAAAACAAUAAAAAUGCCCACAGUAUUUUACACAUACAUUACAUGCCUACACAAACACACACACUCUGCAUUCACUAUGUACACACCACAUCCACUACACAAACCCACACUGCAUUCACUAUACAAACACUACAUGCAUUUAUACACACUGUACACACUACGUCUACCACACAAACACUCAGCAUUCACUAUAUACACUCUGCAUUCACUACACAAACACACAGUGUAUUCACUAUACACACACUACAUCCACUACACAAACACUCUCCAUGCACUACACACGCAGUAUCUAACACAUACAAAUACUACAUCCACUACAUAUGGCCAAAAAGUACCAAAAAUAUAUUAAUGAUAAUUUUCCAUAUAAUUACAGCAGCCAAACUGCUUUUAGCACGAAACUGGAAAACAGAGACAAUUAAUAACACAAGCCACUCUGCAUUCACUAUAAACACACACUACAUCCACUACACAAAUACACACUCUGCAACUAAUAUACACCUCAUACAUUACAAAAACAUGCAAUCUGUAUCCACUUUACACACUGCAUCCAUUACACACACCGCAUCCACUUUACACACGCACUCUGCAUCCACUACAUCAGGGGUGUCAAACUCAAAUUCAUCGGGGGCCGCAUCAGCAGUUUGGUCACCCUCAAAGGGCCGGUUGUAUCUGUAGGACUAUGUGUCCACUCUUUAUUAUCAUAAAUUAUUGUCACUGCAUUCAAUUAUUACAUGGGCAGAACGGGUGUAUGGGGGGCAGUACGUGUGUAUGGGGGGCAGUGUGUGUGUAUGGGGGGCAGUGUGUGUGUAUGGGGGCAGUGUGUGUGUAUGGGGGCAGUAUGGGGGCAGUGUGUGUGUAUGGGGGGCAGGAGUGUAUGGGGCAGAACGGGUGUAUGGGGGCAGUACGUGUGUAUGGGGGCAGUGUGUAUAUGGGGGCAUGUGUGUGUGGGAGGCAGUGUGUGUAUGGGGCAGUAUGGGAGCAGUGUGUGUAUGAGGGGCAGUAUGGGUGUAUGGUGUGGGCAGGGCAGUAUGGGUGUAUGUGGGGCAGUAUGGGUGUAUGGGGGGCAGUUUGUGUAUGGGGCAGUGUGGGUGUAUGGGGGCAGUGUGUGUGUAUGGGGGGCAGUGUGUGUGUGUAGAGUGUGUGAUAUAAGGGUAGGGGGGCUUUUAUAUAUUAUAUAUAUAUAAUUUUAAUUAAAAUAUAUAUUUAUGUCCCCCCUCCCUUCUUACCUUUACUGGGGGGAGGGGGUACAUUUCCCUGGUGGUCCGGUGGGGGAUUCAUUGGUGGUCCCAGUGGGGAGAGUGAACUCUAGCCCACGCUCCAGGGCUAGAGUUCACUCUCGCGAGAUUUGGAGCGUUGCCGUGGUAACCGCGGCAACGCUCCAACUCCCGCGAGAGGAGGACCCGGAGGAGCUGCAGCCUGAGCUCCGGGUCCUCUAUCCCUCCCUCCCCCGCCGGCUGUCAGCACUGUGCCUGCGGACCGGGGAGGGAGAUCUGUGAUCUCCCCUCCGGUCCACAGGCACAUUGCUGGGCUGGCAGGAGAGGGAGACCGUCGGUAUUCUCGGGGGGGGGGCAAUUGCCCCGUUGCAACACUUUAAGGUAGUUUAAGUUUGAGUAGUUUAAGGGAAAACAUGUAAAUGUGUUGGAAUGGCCUAGUCAAAGCCCAGACCUCAAUCCAAUAGAAAAUCUGUGGUCAGACUUAAAGAUGGCUGUUCACAAGCGCAAACCAUCCAACUUGAAGGAGCUGGGGCAUUUUUGCAAGGUGGAAUGGGCAAAAAUCCCAGUGGUAAAAUGUGGCAAGCUCAUAGAGACUUAUACAAAGCGACUUGGAGCUGUGAUUGCCUCAAAAGGUGGCUCUACAAAGUAUUGAUUUAGGGGGGUGAAUAGUUAUGCACAUUGACCUUUUCUGUUAUUUUGUCCUAUUUGUUGUUUGCUUCACAAUAAUAAAAAAAAAAAUCUUCAAAGUUGUGGGCAUGUUCUGUAAAUUAAAUGAUGCAAAUCCUCAAACAAUCCAUGUUAAUUCCAGGUUGUGAGGCAACAAAACACGAAAAAUGCCACGGGGGUGAAUACUUUUGCUAGGCACUGUAUGAAUAGGGUUGUUGAGUUGUUUAGGGGGUGCAAUGCCAAACUUCUAACGUGUUUUUCAAAUUUGACAUAUUUUCUUUGCCUAUCUUGUUUUUGGGGCCUUUUUACAUAUCUCAAUUUACGUUCUUGCCAUAAGCGUACAUAUAUUUGAAAAGUUGACACCCCACGGUAUUGUAUAUGGAGUGUUUUGAUGCCUUUGAUGCAAUCAUUUUAGUCAAAAAAUUGUAUAUGAGUUAGGGGAGCCUGUUUUUUUGCAAGAAAACAUUCCAGGUUGUUUUCUGCAAGGCCUCCUGAGUACAACCGUGCCCCCUAUGCACAGGUUUGCCAGGAUUUUGGGAAGGUUCAGUUACAAUUGUAUGACUUGUAAUUUGGUUUGAAAUUGAGUGUAUUUCUUCUGAUAGGCCUAUCUUUAGUUUGGGGCUUAUCACGUACCCCAGUUUUAUUUAUUGCCAUGAAAAUGUAUAUAUUUGAAAUGUAAAGACCCUAAGGUAUUGUAUAUGGAGCGCAUUGAUGGAACCGUUUUAGCCCAAAAAAUUGGAGAAAGUGUGUGGUGGUAAUUUUUCAAUUUUUAUUUUUACACACACAUUGCUUUUUGACUGAUUUAGGAGAGCCUGUUGUUGGUUAUUGCAAGAAAACACUCAAGGUUGUUUUCUGCAAGGCCUCCUGAGUACACCCAUGCCCCCAUACAUAGAGUAAACAUAACCAAAAAAAAAACUGAACGGCAAAUGUUAAAUUUAUUUUUUAAAUUGACCAGUGUGUGAGAUCGUUUGACGCAGUCCCCAAUGCAGAGUCCAGGCUGUCCAGGGCAAUCAGGACAGUAAUGUACGAUAUCUUUUCUCUGCCCGCUCUUAAAACAGACUGCAUCUUUUUUGGGGAUUCUGCUUUGCCACCGUAGGGGGGAGUUUAAAAAUAAAAUUUGUAGCCCCAACUCUGCUCUCUCCCAUCACCGUCUAGGGAGCAGUUGCAUCACGGUACAAAAUCCCUUAAAUGAUGUGGAGCUGAAACUAAAACACUCAGUUGCAUUCCGGGGUUUGCUUUUUUGAACAACAAAAAGUGUUGUGCAACCUUUUUGUACCAGGCCCUUGUCUUCCAUAUUAUUAGGCUGGCCUGCAGCAGUUGAUCUGCCAUAUCAACCCCACCCAUAUGCCGGUUAUAGGCCUUGAUGCACACUGGCUUACUUGUGCUCUCUGCUCUGCCACGUACAGAGACCUCCACACUCCUCUCAGUGUGGAUGGUGGUAAGAAAGUACACAAAACCACCAAAUGAUACCGCACUCAAGAAAGAAAGUGCAUAUGAAUAUACAUUUAUUGCCACAACUUAAUAAAAUUGGAAAUAGUACUCAUUUAUCCUGUUUAACCCCUUAAGGACACAUGACAUUUGUGACAUGUCAUGAUUCCAUUUUAUUCCAGAAGUUUGGUCCUUAAGGGGUUAAAGACACCAAAGGUAUGUUGAUAGUCAUAUUCAAUGGUUUGCCCACCACUAUCAAAGUGUAGAGACAGGGUAUAAAACACUUAGUGUCAGAUCACCAAAAAAUAUAGUCUACCUAUACACAGCUCAAGUACAAGAAAGAAAGUACAGUGCUUGUUAUGCCUAUACAAUCAGUCUAAAGUGCAACACAAAGCAAAAUACUGUAUCCUUAUCUGGGGACUCUUUAUUCGUUUUAUAAUGUGUUUUAAUUUUGUAUUUUUGUAGUGCCUAACGAUAUUACAAAGAUGCUUGAGGUGCCCCAACAGCAGUUCUCAUGCCAAGCUUCAUGUAUAACAAUAAGGUUAUUGUGAAAGCAUGCACAUUUUUUGAAUAGUAGAUUAAGCAAACUUAGAAUAGAGUAGUUUCGGUUCAAAACUGGACACAGAAAAAUGCAAUUACUCAACUAUUAUAAUAAAACAAGAAGGGAAGAAGGUUAUUACAUGUCAUUAAUGCCACUGGGUACCCCUUAAGGACUGCGUUAAGGACACUAGCAUUGAGGGCUAUUGCCAGAAACUUUUGUUUUAUAUUGUCCUUCUGAAAUUAAAGGUGGAGCACCAGGGGAUGCACUUCAAAUUCAAACUGUCCAAGACUCCAAUCUUUUUUCCUGUUUGGCUAUUAUAGAUCGCUUAUUGAUUUCCAUUUGGAUACUUAAUACAGUGGGUACUUGGAUGGCAGCGUGUACCGGACCAGGAAUGGAGUACAGUUUUUUCUUGUUGGCAUUGGGUCCCUUCAAGUACGUUCAGUAAUGCGGAUGGAUGUAGCCUGUAUCUGGAUUUAUCUAUUGGAUCUCCGACUGGACGACACUAAUUUGAUUUACUGGAUAUCUUCAUAACUUUGAUUGGUUUUGAUAUGUAUUUGAUUGUGAAUGAAUAUUUUCUAUCAUUUAAGAAGAAGCUUUGUAUGUUUAUUGUAAGUGUUAUUAAAAGCUGUAUAACUAAUCAGGUUAGUUGGUAUUGAUGCAAGGGUAUAAUGUAUUAAUUUUUUUAGCAGUCACAUAUGGGAGGCUUGAGUAAUAUAUACAUCUGUCUGCUUUGUAUGGCAUAUGGAUUUCCCUAUAUUGUGUUUCCCUUUGGGGGAUGACCUGAUUGUUCAGCAGGUUGUUGGAUGCAUGUUAUGUAUAUAUGAUGUAGUGAAACAGAUGAAUAAACACCUGUUUAGUAUAGUGUUACACACUUUUUUGGUGUCAUUAUUUUGUUAUUAUGGUGGAGGAGUUUUCACUAUUAAUAUUCAUUAUUAUUAUUAUUAUUUUUUUGCUAUACUAUGGGACCAUUUGUAUACUCAUAUUAGGCCAUAUUAUAGGUGAUCUAUAUACUAUUUCCCCUUUAAGAUUAGGUCUGCUUGUUAAUACUUUGUGUGUAUUUUUCUAUCUUUUGGUGUGUGCAUGCGCGGGCGGCGCAGGUUUUUUGACGCAAUUUUUUAUUAGUUUUGGAUCACGGAGGCUUCCGUAAGAGAGGAGCUUUGGUGUGUGAUUAGCCGUCCGUGGUAAGGCGAAUGUGCUUUCGUUUUUCUGUUUAUUUAUUGUAUAUAGACCACUUUUGUGCCAAGCUUAUUUACUGGUUUAACAAUUAAGUGAUAAGUUUAUCUUUGUUUAAACCUUGGUUGGAGGAUGUGGAGUGUGCCAAUAGAUGGAUGUAGAGUGUGCCAAUAGAUGGUAUGGCGACCGCUCAUAUUUACAUUGCGCAUGCUCGUUACACUUAUGCUAAUGAGGAUAUUCAUGGAUAUUUGAAUUACACAAUAAUGUGACAUCUUUAUAUAAACGGUAGAACUUGUUUGGGAAUAGCAUUGGGAAUGUAUAGUGUAUGUGUUAUUAUGUUUUACACAUAGGACUAUGAUCUGAAGUGAUGAUGUCACUUCCGGUCUCGGUUCUCUGUGGCAUUACUGAUGGCCAUCAGCUGUAAGUAAUUUGUAUAUGUGUAUAUAAUGGGUUCCUGGAUGAUGUUAUAGCUACCCUUGAUAAAGGCUACCAGGAGGAGCCGAAACGUUGGGGGAUUGUUUGUGACUCGUGUUUCUGCCCAUAUAGGCUUGUGGAAUUUGGUUAAUAUAAUUGUUUAGUUGUUUAGCCUAUUUGGUCACUGUUAUAUUGUUACAUUUUGUAUGUAUGGCUUGUAUUUGCAAUAAAUAUAUAUAGAUAGAUACUAUUGUAUCAGUUGGUGUGCAUUCCUUUCUUUUUGAGUAUUUACUUUAUUGGUAUUGGAGGGAGUACCUUUUUGGAAUAGCACCCUUAAUUGUAGUGGUGAUUAUAUUAAGUGUCUCUCCACACGUUACAUUUUGCAUUCAGUGGGUACAUACCGGGUCGCAGGGGGCCCUGCGACCCCGGUAUGUACCCACAGGGCCAGCCAGAAGGAAGUUGGAGGGGGGAGAAGAAGGAAGUUGGAGGGGGGAGAAGAAGAAGAAGGAUUUGAGGGAGGGGGAGAGGAAGGAAAUUUAGGGGGGGAGGAAGGAAAUUGGAGGGGGGAGAAGGCAAUGAGAGGGAAGGGGAGAAGGACAUUGGAGAGGGAGGGGGAGAAGAAGGAAAUUGGAGAGGGGGAGAAGAAGGAAGUUGGGGGGGAGAAGAAGGUGUUGGGGGAGAAGAAGGAAGUUGGGGGGGGAGAAGAAGGAGAGGAGGGGAGAAGAAGGAAAUUGGAGAGGGAGAAGAAGGAAAUUGGAGAGGGAGAAGAAGGAAAUUGAGAGGAGGAGAGAAGAAGGAAAUUGGAGAGGGGGGAAGAAGAAGGAGUGGAGGGGAGAAGAAGGAAAUUGGAGGGGAGAAGAAGGAAAUUGGAGGGGGGAGAAGGAAAUUGGAGGGGGGGAGGGGAAGAGAUUGACAUACAUCACGCACACACACAAUGCACCCCUUGCACACAGAAAAACAAACAAUGCAUUACACAGAGACACACAUACACAAGCAAUGCAUCCCUUACACACAGCAACACACAAUGCACCCCUUACACACAGCAACACACAAUGCACCCCUUACACACACUCAAUGCAUCCCUUACAGACGCACACACUGCAUCCCAUACAUACACAAACUCACCUUGCAGCCCUUACACAUACAAACACAGAGUCACACAAUGCAUUCCUUACACACAUCAGGACAUCCCCCCCCACACACACUCCACCCCCUGUGAACAAACUCAUUGGUGGAACAUGAAGGUGGAUCCUGGGACCCAGACACAGGGCCGGCCUUAGGGGUGUGCGAGCUGUGCGACCGCACAGGGNNNNNNNNNNNNNNNNNNNNNNNNNNNNNNNNNNNNNNNNNNNNNNNNNNNNNNNNNNNNNNNNNNNNNNNNNNNNNNNNNNNNNNNNNNNNNNNNNNNNAAAGGCCUCAAAAAAUGGAGCUGCUUCCCGUUCUCCCAGAACAUUGAAUUUUGUGACCACAGUUACAAACAGCCUCCAGAGAUCCUGUUCUACACCAGACUAGUGGAGCCAAACUGCAGCCAGAGCUCAUCAUCAUCCUCAUCUGGUUGUAAGUAGGCAAUCUAGUAUAUUAUUAGUGACACUAAUCUCUAAUUUACUUCACAUUAAAGGGACACUAUAGUCCCCAGAACCACUGCAGCUUAAUAAAGUGGUUCUGGUGUCUAUAGCCUGUCCCUGCAGGCUUUUUAAUGUAAACACACACUGUUUGCAGCACUGGUGCUAGUUCAUAUGGCAGAUCAUAUGGUGGGCAUUGUGAUGUCACGGGGGGGGGGGGCGGCAAGUUUUUAUUUUGCCUAGGGCGGCAAAAAUCCUUGCACCGGCCCUGCAGACACUGCAUUCCUGUGGGCGACUCGGGGUGUGGGGGCUGCAGCACUUUGGGCGGACUUGGGUGUAGGCACCGGGGGACCCAGACCUUGAGCUGUGUCAGGGGCCCCACAAUUUCUGAUGGCAGCCCUGCUUGAAGGCAUAGUGUGUGCCAGGGUUGAGACCAUCUUCACUCCAUAGCUUGAGUAAUAUGAGCAUCCCUUGCGGCCUUAGGUAGGAGCAGUUGCGUGACUAUGUGCUUAGCUCUGGCGGCCAUCUUGUCGUGCACCUGGCCAUUAUAUAGCUUUGCGGGUCUGUCUGCCCCUGCAGUCUUGAGCAGGUCGUGCAUAAAGGCUUCAGCCAAGUGUGCUAACCGGGUCAGGAGAUCAUCCAUUUCCCCAGUCGCCGGGCACGCUAGUUCUGCGUCGCUGUUAGGCGAUUUAGCCUCCAUAUAAUGCUUAACUGGCCGGACUGAUAGAGAAACGCCUCCAGCCGUGUUGAGUGCCAGGCCCCGCCCCGGCCUCUUUAUUCAUAUUUGUUUUUUUUUUUAUUCUUUAUUUUUGUUGUGUAAAAAUUAAGUAACAGGCAAGCUGAUUUUGCCACGAUAGCACAGAUCAGCAUAUUAGAGGUUACAUGUCUUGACAUAGACGUGGCAUGCAUGACAAUUACACAUUUUUCGUGAAGGUAUAAGAGGACAAUUCUUUUGGUACAAACAAUGAGAAAUUAUGGUAACGCUAUGUUUAACAACCGUUUUGUUAAUAAAAGAAGAGAAACAUUACACGCUAAGUAUGUGCAUCCAAAUUGCUAUUUGGGCACAUGAGAGAUCGUGUACAUGAUUAUCAUUAGCUCAUCAGGUUUAUAGGGUACAGGCUUUUCUAGUCGUUUGUAACAUUAGUCUGUGCUGAAGUCCAUGCCUAAAUUACAUGCUAAACAAAUUAACAUUAACAUUUCUUUGGUUAGGUCUCUGAAUGUCUAAUUGAGAUGCACUUUUUAAAGGAUCCAAUAAUGCUCAAGAGACACAGGUUAGCCCUGUGUGAUAGAUCUCUAAGAUGAGAAACACAAUUGCUGAAUCCUGGCUAGCAUGAAAUUUUUUUACCGGCGGGUUGCCCGUACGGCUAGUUAGACAAACCGAUGUACAGCAGUGAUUAUGACAUUUCUUGCUGACCAUAAACCAUAAACGUAGAAAAGACACAGAGUAGGUAUAGCAUUAAAGGACCACUAUAGUCACCCAGACCACUUCAGCUUAAUGAAGUGGUCUGGGUGCCAGGUCCAGCUAGGGUUAACCCUUUUUUCUAUAAACAUAGCAGUUUCAGAGAAACGAGUAUGUUUUCCUGGCACUAUAGUGGUCCUUUAAGGUUCAAUAUUCCCACUGUUGGUGUGUGUGGGGAAACGUAGGUGUGAUGAGCGUGUUUAGUGUGGCGUGUGGUUGGCUAUGCAGGUGUUAUGGUUCUGUCUGUGUGCAGGGAGUCAUGCGUUAAUCACGGACAUUGGCGUCCUGUGUGGGCUGCAGUAAGUGGUGUGUGGCUGCGGGGUCAUAGGCAGUGGUGUAUCCUGGUUUUGUGCUGCCCUAGGCAGGACAAAACUCAGGCGCCCCCCUCCCCCCCGCGCCACCCCCACCCAACCCUUCCCCCCGCCCCACCUUCUAGAUACACACACACACAGUCAGACACAAACACACACACACACACAGUCAGACACAUACACAAACACACACACACACAGUCAGACACAAACUCACACACACAGUCAGACACAUACACAAACACACACACACACACAGUCAGACACAUACACAAACACACACACACACACACACAGUCAGACACAUACACAGACACAGUCAGACACAAACACACACACAAACACAGUCACAUACACACACACAGUCACAUACACACACAGUCAGACACAUACACAGACACAAACAGUCAGACACAAACACACACACACACAGUCAGACACAUACACAGACACAAACACACACACUCACAAACACACACACGGUCAGACACAAACACACACACACAGUCAGACACAAACACACAAACACACAGACACACACAGUCAGACAUAAACACACACACACACACACACAAACACACACACACAGUCACACACACAGUCAGACACACACACACACAAACACACACACAUUAACUUUUUUUUUUAAUUUAAAUCCCCCCCAACCUCCUUACCUUUGGGAGUGCUGGGGGGGGUCUCUCUCCCUGGUGGUCCAGUGGCUGCAGGGCGGGCGGCGCUGGCAGGCGGGCGGCCGGCGAGGGAGCACUUCCUGUGAGCUGACUGCUCAGCUCCCUGAGCAGUCAGCUCAUAGGAAGUGCUCCCUCGCCGCCCGCCCGCCUGGGAUGUCAGUUAGCCGCGAGUCUAACAAGGCAUCUGCCCUGGGCAUUUGGGGGGCGGCGUUUUUGCCGCCCCCUGAAAAAUGCCGCCCAAGGCAAAUGCCUUGUUUGCCUUGCGGCUAAUACGUCCCUGGUCAUAGGGGAAAUAGCUUACGUUAGCUGGGUAUCAACCUGGGUACUAAUAAUUACCAAACGGUAAGACAAAGGGCAACAACAGUCCGGUACUCAGUUGUGGAAUAUAGCAUGACCCCCUCAUCCGUCACAGUCCAAGUCUCUGUUAUGCGGAUCUGGAGAGCAUCCGUGAGAGUUGUGAGGGUGGUUGGCAGUGGUAGGAGGUUCGGCAACAGUUAGGGAGCGCCAGUCUCGCAGGGCCAGAGAAUCAGCCAAUGCCACUAAUGGGCCACUUCAUGCAGUCUUUGUUCAGGUCGGCUAUGGAAUGGGCGAAAAAGUAUUUUAUUACUGGAAGUAAAUAUCUCCAAAGAUCUCAUAAUAAUGCAUUUUAAGCAGUUCCCGGAAUCUUUUUCCUUUUUAUUAUAUAGAGAAUCAAAUGUAGAUUUAUCCAGAACCUGAUUAAAGUUUCCAAAGAUCAUUAAUAAACCUUAUCUUAUUUACUUUUUCCCAUAUUUUAUAGAUCUAUUUAAUUGGUCUUUUAUUUGGUUGCAUAAAUAUUAAGAAGGUUAUAUAGUACAUUAUCAAUUUCGGUGACUUAUUAUGGAUCUGCAUUCUUGAUCUAAAUCUAGACAUAUUAUAUCUACGUUUAAAUAUUUAGAAAAAAAGAAACAAUAGCCACCCCUCUCUUUUUCUAUCGGUCAUAGAGGUCCUUAGUAUAAUUGGAAAAUUAUUAAAUGUAAUGGUUGUUCUUCAGUAUGUCUCGUGCAAACCACAUAUAUGAAUAUGUUCCUUCUUCAUUAAAUCAAAAGUCAAAUGGAUUUUGUAUGGUGAGUUAGCCCCCUGUACAUUUACUGUCGCUACUCUAAUGAUAAAAAACAAAACAAACAAAAAAAACAACUUGAAUUAUACCUUCCAUUACUUCAUCUAGACGCCUGGCAAAUACCACAAUGACACAAACAUAAACAAGAAAACAUUAGAACAGAGCUUAAAAACAGAUUGAAUUUUGUCCGGAUACUAACCCCACAUUACCACUAACAAAGCAUUCUGAGUCACCCUUGAAAUCAGAUACCAUCCUCUUGUAAGAUAGUUCAAUAAUACUUAAAUUAUUUAAAAGGUAAUAGAAUAAGGGAGAGAAAAAAAACUCAUUUAAAGUGGUGUAUUGGUUAUAAAAAGCAAUUCUAAACCUCAUUAUUAAAAUCUGUUUCUAAGAAACCACACUACAAAGUGAAACCUGAUAUCAGUACUGCCAACAUCUUUUAUUUAGUUAAUUUUUAUCCAAUUUAAGUCAAAUACAAUCAUUAGUGAUAAACUACUUUAUUAUAUACUUUCUUGUUAAAAUACAUUUCUAAGAAACCACACUACGAAGUGAAACAUGAUAUCAAUUAUACCAACAUCUAUUAAUUCAGCGAACUUCAAUCAAAUCCAAUUAAUGAAAUAUUAUAUUAUUGUGUGUCGUUAUUUGUGAUGAUCUAGUGGUAGAAUUAUGCUAUAUACUUUAAUUAAAAACAAAAGGGAAUCUCACCCCUCUUCCACACGUCAUAUAGUUACUUAGUAAGCAGUCUCUUAUUUACAUUACAUUCUUUAUUUGUCACUGCACAAGUGUACAGACAUGCUUGCAAUGCUACAACAGCAGUUGCAAGCUAUGUAAUAACAUACAAGAGUACACAUCGGUAUGGCAUAGAGAGUUCUAGCACAGAUGUAUUUUUUUUUACAAGUAGAAUAAAGUAACUGCGAGUAACACGCCAAGCCUACUGAUCUGUUACUGUAUUUAGUGUUGCAUAUGCUAAUUCAUUCGCGUGGGUUUUGGGAUCGGCUGUAGAUGCUGUAGAGCUGAUCGAACCAAGCUUCAAAGUGUUCCCGCUAGGUCUGGAUGUCUGAUUCCUCCUUGGUAUGUGGAGGCUGUGGCUUGGCGGCCAUCUUAGGCUCAUUAUGUGGUCUGGGUCUGUAGGUACAGUUAGGUGAUUUUCCCCAGUGGUAACCUUGAUGCCCCCCACUGACCCAGUGGGGGGGCAGUGGGGCAUCAGGAUUGUCGCCAGACAUUGUAUCGACCUUUUCGUGGUUCAGCGACUUUGGCCAUCGUUACUCGCAAUGUAUUCACUGGUCAGAGGGUAUGCAAACGCACAUCUCCACGCUGUGCAGUGUACGUCAUCGUUCCAUACCCCCAUACCUCUGUGUUUGGAUUUUAAGUCUUUAAAGUCUUAUUUUGUUUAUCCUUCAUAACCCAAUGACAAAAAUAACAAAUAUAUCCAAUGUAGAAAAAUAGCCUGGGGUGGCUGCCAUGCUGGGGGGCAGGGCUGGAAUACAGCAGUCCUAGACGGGCCUGAGGGCAUCUUUCCGGCCCUAGGAGUUGACUGACAAGCAGACACAUAUGCAUUAGAGUUGGAGUAGAGGAAUCUUUUCAAGUCUACUUCCAUACACACCCGACAUUAUGAUGUUUAUAUUCUAUGUGGCUCUUUUAGAUGCUCCAGUGGCUAUAUUUUUGUUUGUUUUAUGUGUCUUAUUGUUUUAUUUUAGUCAUCUACGACAGUGUUGAAGCCUAGCCUAGUCCAUGGUUUUGUUUCAAAAUUAUCUAAGCUAUUUAUCAGAUGCUUAGUACAUGCAUCUACUGUAUAUGAUCUUCUAGAGACUACUGUCCAUUUUAUUCUCUUAAUUUAAUUUUAAAAAGACACAUGACUACUCUUUCUGAUUACACAAUGUCCAUCUAGCAUCCAACAAAUGUCAUUCUGAUUGCCACUCUUAUUCUCUAUUUAAAAAAUGUGCAAUUAUUCUUGUAUGCCGUAUACCAAUAUGCUUUAUGAUAUUAAUUGCCUUACUUAUGCUGUUGGAGCAUAAUGAGUCUGCCUGUUCUUUGCAUGCACAUCAAAAAUAAAGAAUUAAAAAAAAAAAAAAAAGCCGGAAAAGAUUUUAAAUGACAAAAUACACAAAAAAACUGUCUUUGAAGCUUUCAAGUCAGGAAAAGCUUUAUUACGAGCUCCCCAUGCUUUGAAUACUUUGUUAGAGCACUGUGAUUGGUUGGCUUCGAAGUUAUGAUAGGCAGAAAAAGAAGAUUUCAAUAUAAAAAUAUUUUUUACUUUGAUUAUUGUUUGUUUUUGCAAUGCCACUUCCAGGGGUUUUUAAUAUUGUUUUUACCUACACCGAUAUUUAACAACAAUUUAUUUGUGAGUUUUGAAAAUCAAAUGUUCUAAAAAAAAGUCAUUGUUAGAAACUCGGACCUGACUGCUCCUGGCCAUGGCUAUGUCUUUUCUGAAAUGUUUUUAUGUAAUUUUCUAAAUCUUUCAUAUAAAUGUAAAGUAAACAGAGCAUCUCAUGAAAACACGUUUGAUAUUUGUGAAGUUACAGUUUUAAUUUAAAAUAGUGUGAGGUGUGAAGUAGGGCAUAUCUUGGUAGGUGUCUAGGGGCAAUGGAAGCUCCCGGAAGCAAUAAUAAUGGUAAUAAUCCAUUAGAACAAGGGUGGCAAAACAGGACCCGUAGAAGGAGCAGCGCACCUUUCACCAAUGGCGUGUCGCCGAGAAGUGGGAUUAGUAGCCAGUGAAGGGGAUGUAAGUAGAGCAUAUCCCUCACUACCGGGAUAAUCGAGAGACACAUGGCGUACGGGGAGUAAGUGAGGUGCACUGUGACAGUGUGUAUUUAUAUAUAUAUAUAUAUAUAUAUAUAUAUAUAUAUAUAUAUAUAAAAGAUAAGUAGCUUGGCACUCUCCUUAUUUGAAAUCCCUUAUAUCCGCCUGGGUGCAAAUGGUGUGCGUUCCAUAUAUAACUGAAGAAUAAUCCAAGAUGCACUCCGGUUUUUUUUUGCACAUGAUUUAAAAUAAAACGGAUUUUUUUGCACAAGUCCUGAGAGUGCAUCUUGGAUUAUUCUUCAGAGAUAUAUAUAUAUAUAUAUAUAGAGAGAGAGAGAGAGAGAUUGUAGCCAUAUUAGUCCAGUGAUUUAGAUUUAAAAAUCAGAUAACAGAAUUGAGGUGUAUCUUUUGGACACAAUAAAGGGGUUAUAUUAAUCUACAAAGAUCUGUGAGUCCACUUUUCUUCCUUAAUAUAUAUGCAUAUGUAAAAAAAAAAAACAGAUACAUUUUGUAUCUUGUAGUACCUUUUUUAUUGGAUAACGACAAGCUUUCAGGAGAACCUCCCUUUCUCAAGCCUAAAGCAUUUCUGAACAACAAAGUAAUGUGGGGGACUGUUCAUCUAAAGUGUUUGUAAUGGGACAAGAAACAACACAAAAACCCAAAUCAAUAUUUAGUCCUCUAUUCUUGUCAUUAAACAAUUUGAUCAUUCCAGCUUCAAAAGCUUCUCUCUUGGGUAUUUUUAAAAACCCCUUUCAGUACUUUGAUUUUUAGGCCCUUCAUUGAGUGGCCAGGCUGAGUAAAAUGGUGUCCCACAGGAUUGCAGAACAAUUGUUAUUUGUGGUGUUUAAUGGAGUAUAUGUUCAUAUUCAUUCUGCCAUUUAAUUGCUGGGUGGUUUCCCCAAUGUAGCAUCCUAGGUGGCAUUUGUUGCAUUGAAUCAUGUAUACCACAUUGCUGGAUGUGCAGGAGUAUGAUCCUUUAGUGCUGUAGGUUUUAUUGUUGUGUGUGGCUGUGUUGUCUGUGCAUAUGUGCUGACACAGUUUGCAGCAAGGUUUUUUGCAUUGACUGGUCCGGUUUUCUUUUUUCUUCCCAUCAGUGGGUAGCUUCCUGUUGGUUAAAUUUUGUUGGAGGUUUGGUGGUUGUCUGAAGACCAAAAUGGGUGUUUUCAGAGAAAAUAUUUUUCAGAGUCUCAUCUUCUGUUAACGUUGGUUGUAGGUCUUUAAUGAUUUUCUGUAUUUCCUCGAGAGCUGGGUUGUAGGUGACCACAAGUGGCACUUGUGUAGAUAUUUUUUUCUCUCUGUACUUUAGCAGGCGAGUGCAUGGCGUUUUUACAGCAGAGUUGAUUUGUUUGGUAAUAGUCUUUGGUUUGUAGCCUGUCUCAUAGAUUGGGAGAGUAUAUUUAGAUGGAAAUUACGGUGAUUAGGAUCAGAGCAUAUGCGAUGGUACCUAGUGGCUUGGCUGUAGAUGAUGCCCUGUUUAGUAUGGGAGGGGUGGAAGCUGGAGCUGUGAAGGUAACUUCACCCGUCUGUGGGUUUUCUGUAAACCGAGGUGUGGAUUGUGCCGUUGUUACAUGUCAUAGUGGUGUCCAGAAAAUUCACAGAUCUAGUGGAAUAUUCAAUUUUUAGUUUGAUUGAUGGAUGGAAUGUGUUAAAACAGUCAUGGAACUGCAUCAGUUUUUCUUCGCUUCUAGUCCAAAUUAUGAAGAUAUCGAUAUAGCGAUAAUAUUUGUAUGGUUUGGUGUGCUGUAUAUCUAGGAAUCGCUGUUCAAGAUCUGCAUAUUGCCAUCUUAGUGCCCAUGGUUUGUAAGUAAUCCUCAUUGUUAAAACAGAAAUUAUUAUGUGAGGAUGAUUAGUGCCAGUUCUGUGAUAAUUCGGGGGCUGUAUUUUUGGUUGUCGGCAGAGAGGAAAUGGAAGCUAGCAUUGAUGUCAUCUGUAUGUGGAAUGCUGCUGUAGAGAGAUUCCAUGGUUACAAGGAUGGUGUUAGCAGGGAGAUUGGUGAUUUGGCUGAGUUCGUUGAGGAAGUCAGUUGUGUCUUAUGAAUGUUGGAUGUACAGGUUGUGUGAAUGUUGGUGACUAGAGGUUUUAGGGUAUUUUCUACCAGUCCUGAGAUCUGUUCUGUGAGCGUUUCCAUUCCUGCAAUUAUGGGUCUUCCAGGAUUACCUGCUUUGUGGGUUUUGGGAAUCAUACAGAAAGUGCCCAUAUAGGGACUAGUUGGUAUGAGUGAUUGCAGUUCUAGAUGCAAAUUCUCAGUUAGGAUUUAAUGAGCUCCCUAAGUUGUAAUGUAUAUUCCUUGGUGGGGUCUUCAUUUAGUUUUCUAUAGUAUUUGUCACCUGACAAUUGCCUGUUCCCCUCUUUUAUAUAGUCCCGGAUGUUCAUUAUCACUACUGCUCCUUCCUUAUCUGGUUUGAUGGUGAUAGCAUGAUUAUUUUUCAAGUCAUUUAUAGCCGUUUGUUCCUGUACUGAGAGAUUAUGAAACAUUUGCUUUUGGUUUUGCUUGGUUGUCAAGGAUACUGAUCUUAGAUGGAAGCUUUCAAUGUACCUGUCCAGUUUGGCAUUUUGUCCUGGUGCUGGAGUGAAAUUAGUGUUAUUUCUCCUGUUGUUGUAAUCCAUUGUGGUUUGAGUGCUCUCUUUGUCAUGGAAGUGUUCCUUAAAUUGCAUCCUUCUGAAAAAUUCUUCCACGUCAGAGUAGAGCCCAAUGUCUUGUGCUAGGGCAAAAUGAUAAUCCCUUGGCGAGAACUGAUGCUUCUGAGUCAGAUAGUUUAUAAUCCGAAAUGUAAACAAUACCAGAUUUCUCUUGCCAUUUCUUUCUCUGCCAAAUAUUUGUAAUAGUCCUGCUGGAGUCUGAUGAGUUUAUUAUUUUUCUUCUUAAAAAGGACCUGUUGCUUUUUGUAAAAAUUGUGUAUAUCAUGUUCUAGUUGUUCAGCAAUAUAUAUAUAUAUUAUCCUCGUGUAGAUUUUGGAGUAGAUAUUGUUUUUUAUGAAACAAUCAUGUUCUAGUUGUUCAGCUUUAUAUAUAUUAUUAUAUAGUGUGUUUACACAGGUUUUCAGCAUACUGUAAUUUGUGCAUAGUAGCAAGUGGAUUUUUGAUUCUUAGGCCUUUGCUCUUGAGGAAAUACAGAGAAAUUAAUUAAAGACCUACAACCAAUGUUAACAUCCGCUUUGGCCUUCAGACAACCACCAAGCCUCCAACAAAAAAUUAAUCAACAGGCAGCUACCCACUGAUGGCAAGAAUAAAGAAAACAGGACUAGUCAAUGCAAAAAAACCUUGCUGCAAACUGUCAGCACAUUUGCACAGAGAAAACAGUCACACACAAAAAUAAAACCUCCUGCACAUCCAGCAAUGUGCCACCUAGGAUGCUACAUUGGGGAAACCAUGCAGCAAUUAAAUGCCAGAAUGAGAGAGUGGAUGACCAGAGUAGAAGACAUCAGAUGAAUAGAGGAGCUUAUCCUCUCGGCGACGGGACGCAUACAACGCUACCACGACACCUGGUACCACUGGCUACGAUGGCUCGCCUCUACCACAGCGCCAGGAGGAGACCAACAACCCUCAGGAACAGAGGAGGGGCUCUUCACCCGGGCCGGAACUGGAGGAGCUGCGACGGGACCUGGGCUGGACCCUACCUAACCCUCCCUUAGCUCCCUAUACCUCACCCGCUUACCCUGGAACCACCCACAUCUUCUUGCCCCUACCCUUCAUUACUAUCCCCUCGCAUCCUCCUAGGUGACUCUGCCCACUUACAACCCACCAGGGACGUACCAACACAGAGAUGAACAACAACGACACAAGACAAACAGCACCCCCUCUUCCCUCUGGACACAGAAUGAACGCCACACACCAUAACCCCAUGAAUCUCAAUGAGACAUGACCACGACACACGACAGAGACACACACGAGACAGCUCACCAGAGGCAACCCUCCCACUACUGGACUCAUACGCCGUGAACCAGGGCGUAUCCCUACCAAGUAAGAUACCCACAUGAAUAGCUUUUCAACUGAGAAAACCUAAUUUAACAAGCAACGUGAGACGUGACACUUGCCAGGUAUACAUAAUCCACUCCCAAAAUAAAAACCGAAUUGUAUACCCCGUUGGAACACAUAACACUGUAAUCCACCGCAAAUAGGCUCACACCCUACUACAAAUAUUGAAUGAUCUGAAACACGCAAAUGUUAUUACAACUAUGUUCAUUGUAUAAACAUGGUGCAACCUUCACCUGCCAUAACGCUGUGAUCAACUCGUUGAGUAGUCAAACUCCGCUUAAAUGGCAUACCUGCAUACAUGCUCCUUAAGCCUAAACCAUCACAUGCUCUGUAAACUAACUGAUACCAUGUUAUAAUAUGUUACUCAUGCACUCUACAUUUACUGUAACCUUCUUCAUACUGUCUUGUUAUGCCAAUUUAAAACAAAAUAAACAUUUUUUGAAUGAAAAAAAAUAAAUAAAUGCCAGAAUGAAUAUGCACAGAUACUCCAUUAAAUACCACAAAGCAGAAUCGUACUGCACUCCCGUGGGACACGACUUUACCCAGCCUGGCCACUCAGUGAAGGACCUUAACAUCAAAGUACUGAAAGGGUGUAUUAAAUACACAAGAAACACAAAGGUUUGAAGCCAGAAUGAUCAAAUUGUUUAACAGCAAGAAUAGAGGACUAAAUAUUGAUUUGGGUUUCCUGUCCCACUACCAACACUUUACAUAAACACUCCCCCGUUAUCUUACUUUUCUGUCAUAUGUAUCAACAUUUUAAAAUACACCACAAUAUGUUUAUUCUAUCAAUAUACGUGUGUGUAUAUGUGUAUGCUUAAAUAUGUGACUGUGCAUUUAGAUUUGUGUAUAUGAGUUCAUGUGCAUGUAUGUAUAUGUGUUUAUGUGUUUUGCAUAUACAAAUAUACACAUGUGUAUGUAUGUAUAAAGUGUACCAUCUUCUGCACUGUGCUUCUUUUUUGGGAGGCUCUCCCAAAAGCUUGUCAUUAAAAAAAUCUGUUAGCCCAAUAAAAAAAGGUAUUACAUGAUACAAAUUUUCUGUUUUUUUGUCUUUUUUGUUAUAUUUUGUUGAUAUUUUACAGGCAUUCAACAACACAGGAUAACCUAUGGCCAAAACUACCAUAACUUCAUGCUAUCAUACCAGACAAGAAUAUACUCAAAGGUUUUCAGGAAUCCAUUCCCCCACAUUCCUCUCAGAGAUUACCAAUAGCCAUCCAACUUUUCCAUCCUAAUCAGAUCUAUUAGAACUACAACCAUUCAAUUAUACUACCAAGUCGGCCAUUACCAGCCAUGCACACUGCCUUUUAUUCCUUUUUCAGGCCAGAGAAUACACUACCAUAACCACCACUCAGACAGAUCAUUGUCUUCAACGAUCCCACGUAUGUAAACACAUAUAUCAUUACCUAUUGGCUCUACCACAUUCCGAAACGAGUCAACACGCACCAACAGUAGAGAUAACAUACUAUCCUACCCACAACAAAUGGUGUCCAGUUGCAGUCCUAGAUUCCUACCUUCAAAAUCCUUCCAGGAAUUAAAUACCGUAAUGCAUUUAAGGAAAUGUCUGGUUAAUUUGUAUAUAUUGUUGACUGUAUUAAAUCUUUGAUUAUUCUUUUUUGCCCUCUUUAUUUACAGGCCUACCGUAUCGUUGGUCUUGGCACACCACAACCGACUUGCUCCCUUUAUACUAUCCUACGCUUAUGCUGGAACCUUACUCCAUAUAUGGCUAUUUGCCCCUUACACAAAUAUAUUAUAGAAGAAAAGUGCACUCACAGAUCUUUGUAGAUUAAUAUAACCCCUUUAUUGUGUCAAAAAGAUACACCUCAAUUCUGUUGAUGUUUCAGUCCAACACAGGACUUUUUUUCAAGGUGUGAAUGCCCAAAUGAUCGUUUAAAUAGGAGAAAUACAUGUAAAGUAGCAGGGAUUUGUUAUGUAAAACAAUGUUGUGGUGUGUCAAAUGUCGUGAAUGAAUAAUACCCACAUUCACUCAUCAUAAAGCGAAUCUCUGGUGUUAUCCAUAUAAACUAUUCUGUAUUUGAAGAGAGAAAAUUAAAUAACAUAAUAUAUAAGUAAUAUGAGAGAUAUCUAAAAGUAAAUGUCAAAAAUUGUGCAGAGCUGGAGAUCGUGGGGCAUGUCACAUAAACAACUACUAUAUCCACAAAGUGUAAAAUAAGCCUAAAUUAUCUCAAUAUAGAAAGAACAUCAAAGUAUGUACAAAAUAUUUACACUGUUGCCAGACAUGUGUUGUAACAAAUCAACAGAAGAUACAAUAUGAGUAAUGCAACAGGCAUAACAAGCAUAGUCCAUCACAAUACUGCUAACUUGGAAUGUGUCGGUUUGUCUCCUAAGGGCACAUCAAAGUCCUAUAUAGAUGCCGCUGCAAAGUGCAAAAUAAAUCUAUAAUAAAGCAAAAUACGGGGUAAGCAAGGUGUGUGACCAAUAGGUCUCUGUGAUCAUUGCUGCAGCAAAGUUUGCAUAAAAAUUGGUCUACUGAAAUGUUGCGGCACCUAAAUUUCCCAGCUACAAGAAAGGAAAAAAUGUUUUUUUAAAAAUAGAUUAGGGUGGAGUAUUUAUGGUUGGAGUACUAUUAUAGGAUUAAAGAGAGAUGGGUUAGCAUUAAGGUAAUUUAAGGUUAAGGAGGCUUAGAUUUAGAACUGCAGUUUUUCUAGCCUGUAACAGGGAAAUUGGCUCAAAUCAUUGUGGGGAAUUUGGUUUCAGUAAAUAAGUUUGUGAAUAGCUGCUUUGACAAUCUUAUAUAAAUGAUCAUCUUACUUUAGCCAAAUCAUCAGUGUAAAUUUAUUUUAAAAUAUAAAAAUUUACCAUUUGUGAAUAUCAUGAUGAAAUAAAUUUCAUUAAGACCGCUCUAGUUUUAUAAUCAAAUUGUGCUUUGCUGCUCUUUUUUAUUAAGGGGAAAAGUAAAUAAAUAGCAGUUCAUUUUAAUUGAGGGAAAGCACUUUUGAUGAUUUGCCUUGAUAACGUUUUAAACAAAAACGCUAGACAUAUUUGUGUCUGAUGUACUCAGUUUGUUGACAAUGCAUUUUAAGUCCCUAGAAAGUAAAUAAAGUUAUAAAGAUUUUUUUUCAGAUUGACUGAUUUAUGCAACAGGUUUGUGACCAAGGCCUUUUUUUGGUGCUUUAAGAAUAUAGAUACAGUGUCCCAAAUCAGAUGCUCAUACUGUCGCUAUGUAUUGCCUCCAUUUAAAAAUAUUCCAUUAUUUUUGCUGCAAAAAGUGUAUUGACAAAUAGAUUCACACAGAAUUAUGAAGGACACCAUGCACUGAAAUCAACGCGUUUCGUAUAAACAAACAUACUUCCUCAAGAUCAAAGGUUGUUACAUUGUGGCAAGGUUUUAUGGGAAAAUGGCUAAUUGCCAAAAAAGAAAAAGCUAUAAACCAGCCCAAUUAUACAAUUAUUGUAUCAACUGUGAACUAAGACUAACCACUUAACCCUCACAUUGUGUUAAACAGGACAACAUUGCUGAAUCAAGUAAAGUACACAUCAACAUAUUUAAUAAUUUUGCAGACCAAAUACAUAUGUUUAAUUCAUCAAAACAUAGCCAUUAAAUAAACCAAUGAAACAAAGAUUUUUUUUUAAUCUAAUGAGAAAAUAGACAACAAUGAAACAUAACAACAUUUAAAAAAAAAAACACAACUAUCCAAAUUUACUAACCCAGCAAAGAGUUGACUAACCCAUCUUAUUUAUGUUGAGCAUACAUACAUACAUCACCCAAGGCUUUUAUAGUCAACUAAAUAUCAUACCUUUGUAAAUUUCUCAUAAAGACAUGUUAAAGAACUUUAUGCUUCACAAUCACAAUUAUAAAAUAAGUCAUUAGUAUUUUUAGUAUUAGUAUGCAAAUCAGUUCAAAACUCUUUUGACAUGUGUUUUUCUGGAUUUAUUUUUGUUAUUCCUCAGUUGCUACAAAAACAAACUAACUGGAACAGUUGUUUAUCAAAUGUGUCGGGUGAUAACUGUCAGUCCAUAAAAUUGUACUGGCAUCAGUACUUUUCCUAUGUGUAUAGGACUAAAUAUUACCUACAAUAUUACAUGAAAAUAACUGAUAACGUUUGGUUUAUUCUCCAUAGUGAACUUAAAAUUUACGGUAUUGUUAUUAGCAUAUUUAAAACAUUUUUGGUAUGUUUGACUCAGGGCCACAGACACGAAAAGCAAAUCAUUAAAGGAGCACUAUAGGGUUAGGAACAUAAAGAUAUUUCUGACCCUAUAGUGUUCAAACCACCAUCUAGCCCCCCUGGCCCUCUCUUGCCUCCCUAAAUAUAGUAAAAGCUUACUUGUAUUCAAGCCUGAAGCUGCUGGCUCUGCCCCUGUCUGCAUCAGAAUAGCAAGCUGUCUGCUGACAUCAUCAGAAGUGUUGUUCUGAGCUAAUCACAGGGGCAGAGCCAGCACAAGUCAAACACAGCCUUGGCCAAUCAGCAUCUCCUCAGAGAUGCAUUGAAUCAAUGUAUCUCUAUAAGGAAAGUUCAGUGCCUGCAUACAGAGGGAGGGCAUACUGAUAUGUUGUAAUGCAUACAAUGCAAGACUGAGAUGGAAAGCAGCUCUAGCAGCCAUCUGAGGAGUGGCCAGUGUUAUCACUGGGCUGUAAUGUAAACACUGGAGCACAGGGCCCUAGAUGGGACAUAGAUGGAAUCAAUGUUUUUGAGAUGGAAGCAGUAGGAUUUGGCGAUUGAUUGGACAUGAGGGGUGAAGGAGAGGUCAGAGUCAAAGAGAACACCUAGGUAGCAAGCCUGCGAGGUAGAGCGGGUGGUAGCGCUAUUGACUUGGAGGGAAACAGGCAAGGGAGUAGCAACACUUGAGAGAGGGAAGACCGGUUAAGUUUAAGGUAAUGAGCAGCCAUCCAGUUAGAAAUAGCAGAGGGGCAAUCAGAGACAUGACUCAAGAGGGGUGGUGAGAAAUCAGGGAUAGAUAGAUUUGCAUGUCAUCCCCAUAGAAAUGAUACUGGAAGCCAAAAGAGCUGAUGGGUUUACCAAGGGAGGUAGUAUAGAUGGAGAACAAUAGGGAACCAAGGACAGAUGCUUUGGGAACACUAACAGAGAGGGAUUGGGGAGAAGAGGCAGAGCCAAAGAAAGAAACACUGACGAGAGGUAGGAAGAGCACCAGGAGAAAGCGAUAUCUCAUAGACUGAGAUACCGGAAGAUGAGAAGAAGCUGCUGCUGAUCAACAGUAUAAAAAGCAGCAGAAAGGUCGAGGAGAAUUAGGAUAGAGUAGUGGCCACAGGAUUUUGCAGUGACAAGAUCCUUGGAUACUUUGGUCACAGCUGUUUCAACAGAGUGGCGAACACGGAAUCCAGAUUGAAGCUAGUCAAUCUGAGAGUUGGAUUCGAGGAAGUCUGUCAAUCUCACAUACACAACUCCGUAAAGGAUGUUGGUGGAAAAUGGGAAAUAGGGCGGUAGCUGGACGGGGGAUUAGGAUCAAGGUUGGGCUUUUUCAGAAUCCAGGUUAUGGUUGCAUGUUUGAAGGGUAGAAGAAAUGUGCCAGAGGAGAGGUAGAGAUUGAAAAUUUUAGUGAGAGGCAGAGCAAGAGAAGGAGACAAAGUGCGGAUGAGAUAUGAGGGAAUAGGAUUGAGGGAACAUUUGUUAUUUCCCCACACUUAAAUAUUAUUUAAGGAGGAGAUUAAAUAUAGUUUCAGGCACUAUGAAUUGGCAAGAAGUGACUUUUGUAAAUAUGCAUUUUUCUGCAGGCAAUCCAGUGCUCCAAUACACAAUUCAGUACAUGAUUCCAGUGCUACAGUACUGUUUUACAAGUGUCACUUAUUCAAUCUAGUUUUUUAAUUGGAGACUGCAGAUGUUACUUGAUCCAGACAUUGAAUCUUUUACUCCUGUCAGGGCAUAUAAGGCAGUAUGGAAACAAAGCAGGACUUUAAGCAAUUAGAUAAAUAUGUUUGGCGAAUCAUAAAUAUUUGUUUUAUUCUCACGUCUAUUGCUUUUUUUUUUUUUUGCCAACUAUUCUUUGCUCCCUAUGAUUUAAUUAUUCUUUUGCUCCCUGCGAUUAUGUGGACUGAUCACAUUUAUCAAAUAUACAGAGUUAUUGAUUGCUUAAGUCACUUGUGCUGGGGAUGUAACUAGCCCUAGCACAAUAAUAAAACUAACUUUCAAUGUGCAGUGUUUCAAGCAGAAACACUGCGCAUCCAGACUCCUACGACCAUAAUCAAUUAAAUCAAGUGAAGUGGUCAUGGUGGUUGGAGCAACGCUUUAAUGAGAAGUAUUUGUCUGCCUCUUAAGUUUAGCCCCACUGAGCCAAACAACUAGAAAGUAACAGGACUGGUUGUCUGAUUGACAGCUAAAAUGGUGUAACAAGGUUAAUUUUAUAAAAGUGCCAAUUUCUGUUGAAAUCUGCCCUUCUUGUAAAAUGAAAUAAAGAGGACACACUAUUCACUUAUAAAGCACUUAAGCAAGAUAAAGUGCUUUAUGUGUGUCAAGUGGAACUUUAACAUGCCUUAAAUCUUCACCCCCAUCUACUAAACCCCAGUCUGGCAAGGGUAUUUAAACCAGGGGAUUGUUAACAAAGGUGUUACUUCAUUGAUGUAUAUAUACUAGGGUCAUUGGUGAACGUUCAUACAUUGGGAAGUGACUGCAACUCAUGAAAUGGCUAGGAACUAAAAGAUCACUGCUACAUUGUCAAAAUUUACAGACUUUCAGCUGUUUGUAAUGAACAAAUCAAACAAAAGCAAUUGAAAUAGCUCAAAAAAAUGAAUGUUUCAAGUGGUUUCCCUAAAUUGAACUGAUUAUGCAACUUCUAAUGACUUCUCCAGGGGAAAUUAUUCAAACCCUGCAUAGAAACCCUCACAACAGAAAAAAUAUGCAAUACUAUUGUUGUCUUAAGCACACAAAAUGCAACUAAUCAAGGGCUUCAUUAGAUGCACUAGGUGUGCUUGAGCUGGAACACUUGAAAUAUCUGAAUUGGCUAAGGGUUUGUUAAGUGUCACAUUUGACUGCAUGUUAGAAAUAAGAAUGGUCCAAAGAAUGGUCCACAAAGUUAUGAGAAGAGAUCAGUGUAGCGGAUGGCCAUGAGCUGCCCUGGGACUUACAUUAUGUUUAAACUGUAUUCGUCUAUUUGCUAAAUGUCUAUGCAGUAAGGGAAUGUAUUUGUGUAAAAUAGCUAAGUUCUAUGUGUAAAAUGUAUUGGAUUCGUCUGAAUGUAAGGUAGUUUCAUUCCCUUAGUUUGUUCGAAUGAAACUACCGAACAGUCAGACCUCCCUGUGUGAUGUGUGCCUUCAAUUACCUGUUGCAACAUUGUUGCGAACAGGUAAUUGACAAGCUGUGUAGCAAUCCUUUGUUCCCAGGGGUGGCCGCCAUUCGAGAAACGAACACGUGGCAGUGGCCAUCUUAAUUUCCCGAACAGCGGUGUUUUGCCGUCGAGUGUCUGGAACAAAAAAUGGACACUCGAUUAGGCGAACACCGCUGAGACCUCCAUCAGCCCGGUCCGUUCGGUUCCAAACUACCGAACGGCCCCUCGUUCGGUAGGCAUAAUCAACCGAACGAGGGGAUUCAGGCGAACCCUCCCAAGCCUCUAUAGCUGGAGGCUUUCAGGUACUGCAUUCGCCUUUUCCAGGACCGACCGCAGGGCCCCAUCGCAUGGAGCCCACUUCGGCUAGUUCAUCCAGCAUAGUCGGUCAUUUUAUUCCCUCCAGGAAAUUCCCGAACCCCUGGUCUGAUCUGGGUGAUUUUUGGAUAUGUUGUUCACCCAGUUCAGGGCUACCAGGGGAUGUAUAAUUUAAAGGGGUACCCCUAGGUUUAGGGGUACUUCCAGAAACGGGGGGAAUUGCUGUACUGGAUAAGGGGAUUAUGAUGCAGGCUGAGGGGAGGAGAUGUGUGGGAGGUUACCGGGACAGGAUUGGCUACUGUAUUAAUGAAUGGAAAUCCCUCCCUUGCAUGGGAGCAUGCUAUAUAAGGCACUGUGGUAUAAAGGUUGUCAGUUCUGCUCCUGAAACUGUGUGUCGUCCAGUUAUUGGGAUUGCUGUUGGGAUACUGCUGUGUUAUUUUGCCUGCUGGAAACCUUGCCUGUGGAUUUACAAUUUACUUGUUCCUGAGCCUCACUGGGAUCUUAAGUGGAGAUAGCCUGGGGAAUAUUGUAUCUCCGCUACAAUCAUCACCCUUCACAAACAAGGAACAGGAUAGAAAAAGAUAGCAAAUGGGGGGCAUAACUAGCUACGGGCCAAAGCAGAUGCGUAGAAUUAGAGCUCCUGGGAAAUUUCGAUUUUACCCUUUAAUUUCAGAAUAGAAGGGCAGGAAACUGAGCAAUACCUAUCUCAUGACCACCAUGGUAAGAAACAGCAAGUCUUUCAGGAGCAAAUCAGCUCCUGUGUAAAAAAAAAAAAAAUAGAGGGGAAUUACUGAGAGUAAAACCGCAGCAGAGACCUGUCAACAUGGCCCUUGCACAGAAGAAAGCGACACUGAGAUUUCUGGCAGUACCAAAAGGUUCAAGAAAGGCCAAAAGGCCCAACUCGGACCUAGACGGACAAACCCUUAAGGGACUGACAUACAAGAAGUCCACUGCCAAUACAGUACGAAACCAAUCAGAUGUAUUAACGAACACCUAAGGCACACCACUGUAAGAACCACUAUGAGUGUUACACAGACGACCACAAUGACGGUGAAACUGCCGGGAGGAAUUUAGGACCGCACUAGGUUAAUGGUUUCAUAUGAUACAUAAACGUAAAACGCAUUGUACGGAAUUAAUUUUUGUUCAUGUUUGACAUUGGGACCGGAAAGGCCCUACAAAUUGGAAAACAACACCAAGAAGCACACUACAACCAGUAUACCUGAUAUACCUUUAAAUCUUCUCUGUACAAUGAAUUGCAUUAUAUGUUGAUGACAGGCCCCUGUGCGGGCCACUUCAUGUUAUUAAGUGGCACGUGGUGUUGAAGCAAAAAUAAAGAAUUAAAAAAAAAAAGAAAGGCCAAAAGGACCCUAUUCAGGCUCUGGAAUUUAUACUGGCAAUCAAGACUGAUAUAGAGAAUCUCCUGCGGGAAUUCAAGGCCCUCUUUGCUGCAGAUUUCAAGCUAGUCUGGCAGAACAUUUGCCAUAUGUAGGCCCGCGUGCAGGCAGUGGAAGAUGUGAGCAGCACUGCACAGACCAAGCAGAGCAAGUCAACAUGGUCCAUGAGAGCAAGAUGGCAGCUCUGGUGGACUCCAGGUGCCAACGUAACCUCAGAAUCACAGAUCUUCCUGAGGAGUUGGAUGAGAACAAAUUACAAUCCAUAUUUUCGAAUUAUUUGGGCAUUAAAUUGGCUCUGAACCAGUUCUUUCUGCUGUACGACGUUAUUUCUAAUGGUAUGGGCUCAUAGCAGCUCCCACAAGUAACAUGAACAGUCCAUAUGAUUAUAUUCAAGAUUAAUAUAAUACUGUGGUUUGUAUGCCUUUUACAAACUCUACCAAAAAGUACCCCACACACUCCUUUUUAUCAUUUCCUGAAACACUGAGUGGUUUACUUAGGAAACAGUGGAUUGUGAUGAAUUCAAACCCAAAUUUCAAAACUGGGCUAAAUAGUCAAUUUGUGGGGGAAAAUAAUGUUUUUCAGCUCAAAUACUUUUGCCUGAUUUUCAUGAUUCCAUUGUCAAUUUAUCAAAAUGUGUUUCUUAAUGAAUAAACCCACGUUUUUCUAAAUUAAUUUUGCACAGAUGUGAACAUAUCACAUUUCACUAAGAUUUCCAGAUAUAUCGAGUUGACUCAUAUCUAUAAAUAUUACCAAGCCAAAUAUAUAUCUCAGCUAGUCUGGCAAUACUCCUGAUAAAUUGAGAAUAGAAUGUAUUUGGUGUGGUUGAAUUUACCUUUGUGGACAGAGAGAGCUACAAAUAGAACUUCUGUACCUCAAGUCACUUAUUUCACUGAAGCCAAAACUGCCAGACCUCUCCAUAGCUACCAUUUUUAAUAAGCCAUCAUUCUAGAAUCAAUUCAUUUUUUACCAGUUCUUUCAUUGCCUUGUGAUGAAUAUAUUGUCUUUAACGUUCAGAAUACAGCUAUAUAACUUGAAAUAUAUGCCAUUUGCUAUACUGGAAGACAUAGAUCAGAUAUAUUAAUAUGAGAUAUAUUUGUAUUAUGCACAUAUUUGUCCAUUCUAGUUGUGGUUCAAUCACCAACUAUACAGGUGUGUUAUUUCACUGAUUCACCUUUAUAUAUCAGACCACUUAUUAGAGGCUUCUGUCCUAGGGCUUGGUUGUGCUCCUCGGUAGAUAUUAUUUGGCCUUACCUGCACCUUUUAUUGUCUAUGUGGUGACUAUUACAUGUUUCCUUUAAUUCUUAUAAAUGUCUUAAUGGAACACUAUAGUCACCUAAAUUACUUUAGCUAAAUAAAGCAGUUUUAGUGUAUAGAUCAUUCCCCUGCAAUUUCACUGCUUAAUUCACUGUCAUUUAGGAGUUAAAUCACUUUGUUUCUGUUCAUGCAGCCCUAGCCACACCUCCCCUGGCUAUGAUUGAUAGAGCCUGCAUGAAAAAAAAACAGGUUUCACUUUCAAACAGAUGUAAUUUACCUUAAAUAAUUGUAUCUCAAUCUCUAAAUUGAACUUUAAUCACAUACAGGAGGCUCUUGCAGGGUCUAGCAAGCUUUUUAACAUAGCAGGGGAUAAGAAAAUCGUAAUUAAACAGAACUUGCAAUAAAGAAAGCCUAAAUAGGGCUCUCUUUACAGGAAGUGUUUAUGGAAAGCUGUGCAAGUCACAUGCAGGGAGGUGUGACUAGGGUUCAUAAACAAAGGGAUUUAACUCCUAAAUGGCAGAGGAUUGAGCAGUGAGGCUGCAGGGGCAUGUUAUAUACACCAAUACUGCUUCAUUAAGCUAAAGUUGUUCAGGUGACUAUAGUGUCCCUUUAACCCCUUAAGGACACAUGACAUGUGUGACAUGUCAUGAUUCCCUUUUAUUCCAGAAGUUUGGUCCUUAAGGGGUUAAACUUUACAAAAAAAAGUUACUAAAAAAUCUGUUGCUUGUACAUAUUCAUAUCCCAACCAAGUUUCACCUUCUUUUGGAUCCACUCCCUUUCAAAUAUGCCUGCAUCCAAUUAUUUUGAAGACAUAGUGUCCUAAUAUUGAAAUCAUAAAACUUUUAAAACUCAUGGGGCAAAAUGUACUUUAACCCCUUAAGGACACAUGACAUAUGUGACAUGUCAUGAUUCCCUUUUAUUCCAGAAGUUUGGUCUUUAAGGGGUUAAAUAUGAAUAAACAUUUCAGAGAUAUUCUGCAGAACUAAGGUUUGGAAUGGUUACAAAAAAAAAGGCAAAACAAGUUAUUUAUUAUUAUAACAAUAAAAGCAAUAGCAGUAUACAAGAUAGGGCUAAUGCAGAUAAUAUAAGAUACAGUUUAUUUAAGAAAGCUAAACAUGGGUUGCAUAUUUCCUUAAUCUAAAGUACUAUUUUGCAAUAAAGCCUCAACAGCUGCAUUCAGUUUUACUCACUUGCAAUUUGGCAGUAGAUCCGGGAAUAAGAAAAUGUUACUGUAGCAACAAAAUUAUUUUAAAGAAAAAAAAUAUAGUAUUAAAGGAUUAAUAUUCUACUCCAUGUCUUUAUAUUGUUCAGGAGGUUGAUGGCAUAAAUGAGGGGCUCAAAAACCUAGCUGUUAUGUUCCAAUUAAAUACAUAAGAGAUUUGGAGCCUCUUAGGAUCUAAUUAGUAAUUCACAUCCUUAAUGUCUUUUUAAAAUACUAUUAUUAUUAUUAUUAUUAUAUGAAAUUGUUCGUUGAUUGUUUUGCCCAUUAUGCCUCAAUACCAUACAUCCCCCUCAAAAAAAUGUAUAUAGCGUGUAGGGAUGACACAAUGGAUGUCCUGCUUCCUCGACACCCACAAUAUUCAAGAGAGAACGCUUAGCGUAGGGGUAGGCAACAUUCAGCACUCCAGAUGUUGUGGACUACAUCUGCCAUAAUGUUCGCAAAGCCAUAAUGCUGACAUAGCAUCAGGGAUGAUGUAGUCCACAACAUCUGGAGUGCCGAAGGUUGCCUACCCCUACUUGCUGCUUUACCCAUCAUCCCUGGGACUUGUGCAAUGAUCCCUAUGAGGAAGGCUGGAUGCCGAAACAUUGGGGUGUUUGUGAGUCUCUAGCUCUGGGUAAGUAUACCCUAAGCAUUUAUAUAUUGUGGAUUAGCAGUGAGCACUUUAGUGCCUGGGUACAUGUGGUUAUUUGCAUGAUUUAUUUCCUAUAUAUAUGCACUUUAUAUUUGUAGGUGUAUUUUAUCUUGUUUGUUGAAUUAAAAAAUAUUUUCUUUGCAACAUUAUAAGGUGUACCUUUUUUGCUGCAUUUUUUCACUAGGGUAUAUUUAAAAAUAGCUGCUAUACUCAGCAUUUACAAGUCCUCCACUUUUCCCCAGCCCAGACUUUCUGUGCCUGUCCAAUCACAGACAUCCCAAUAGAGCUCAAUGAGAAGUCUUUGCAAGGCAGGUGCUCUGAGCAAUUGCUGCCUCCUGAGUUUAGCUCUGCCCAGCUAACCAAACCAGGAAGUAACAGGACCUGUCUGACAGUCAGUGUGUGUAACUAGGUUUAUUUAUAAAAGUGUACAUUUCUAUUGAAAUCUGCACUUGUUUGUAAAAUUGAAAAGAAGAGGACACAUUCUUCACACAUAAAGCACUGCAACAAGCUAAAGUGCUUUAGUUAUUUUGAGUACUCCUUUAAUGCUUUCAGGCCAUACAAAUCCAAACAAAGACAUCAGUGUGAAUUUUCCAGGGACAUAAACCCGAUUUUUUUUUUUAACAAUUCAACAGAAUAAUUGAAUUUGACGUUGUCUACUUAUAUAUUUAACACUUAUUUACACAUAGCUUUAAUGUCUAACAAGAUUUUUCCUAUUACAGCUCUACGGCCCCAGCCAAGCCAGGAGGAGCAGGACCAAAGACACCAUUCCAACUAAUUUAACUAAGUGGUGAGUUGAAUGAUUCACACUAUUACCACCACCACUACUGCAGCACCUUGAAAUACAUAUGCCAAUAAAUAUUGGACAGCAUCCAAUUUACAGAAGGAGGCACGCUCAAGGCAUGGACUGUCAGUUAACUACAACAUUCCUCAUGAUGGCCAAGUCAUUCUUUUUCCAGCACUGGAAUCCCAGAACAUAUAUGUAUAUAUCAUCUGUAUAAGAGUAGAAUAGAUAAGAUAAAUAGAUAGAUUGAUUCAGUGAUUUGAAGUGGUCAUGGUGGUAAGAGUCAGUAUAAGCAGUGAUUCUGCUUGAAACAUUGCACUUAGAGAGAGAUUUAUAUUUUUGCUGUGCUGGGGGCUAGUUGACAUGACAUUGGCAGCCCAGAACUCUGUUCCUAGCUACCUAAUAUCAAUUUUGUUCAUAAAUUACAUCUCUUGUCAGCACGCACUGCACACUGACAACAGACAUGAAAAUCUUUCCUUGCAGAUGUAGCGCUUGCAAGGCAAAACUCCCUGCGCAUUGUUUUGUUUUUGUCCACACCCUUCCUCCACUUCCCUCACCAACCCGGAGAAAGUGCAUGCACUGUGAGCUGGAGACAUGGUCCAAUCACAGGCUUUUCUAUUUUCAUGUUUUACAGUGAAUUGAGAUGGGGGGCCUUCCCCAUAAUGGCAUAUUAUGCCAGAAAGGUUCCACCCACUCAAAAGAGUUAUAGUAACCCUUUAAAUUCCCAUUUUGUUUGCAUUACGUCUCCGUGUGUUUAUUAAUGGCGUUGUGUCCACGUUUGCUAGGCUAAUGUGGUGUACACAUACAAAGCUGUAUUUGUGUGGAAGAUUAGUGUGUAUAUGUGUUUGCAUAGGCAGUAGUAUAUGUGUGUGGAUGAGUGUGAGUGAAUAAGUAUAUAUGUGUGGUACAGUUGGAGUGUGUAAAAGAAGGAGUAUAUGAAUAUUAAGGGCUAGUGUACAUGUGUAAAUGCAGGAGUGUAUAUGUGAAAGGCUAGGGAUUGUAUGUAGUGAUAUGUGCGCUAGGUUCUGUUUAUAUAUGUUAAUAAUGUGUCUGGGAUUAUAUGUCCAUGUGAAGAUGUAAUAUUUAAGUAUACGUAUGUGGAGUUUGGGUAUGUAACAAAUAUUAACACAAACACACACAUAUAAAAUCUGUUAGACACAUAUAAAAAACACAUUUAUGAACACCCAUUCAUAUAUAUAUAUAUACUGAGUGAGCUUUCUAUAUUAUAAAUGAAGGAAGCCUGAAGGAGAUUUCAGAGUACUGAUGAUUGGUAUUAACAGUAAGUAUGAGUUCCAUGUGCAGUUCAAUCAUACAGGCAGCAUAUGGACCCAUAUUACUGUCUGCAAGACUGAGAACUGUUUGCUCAGCCAGACUGCAAUCCAAUUUUUUUUCAGUUUUUGUCUGCUGAAUACAUCUGGAAAGUAUUUGUUGUGUUUAAUGUUUUUACAAACAAUUGCCUCAAUUUAACAAUGUUGGAUAUGCUUUUGAAAUCAUUUACAGGGUUAUUCACUAAAGUGAGAAUUCAAAGUGAAUUUCAAACUUAAGAACAAAGUAGCUAAACUGGAAGCAUAGCUGUCUUGGAGAAAUUUUCAUUAAAUUUUAAAUUAAUUUUGAAUGAUGACAUUAGUGAAUAACUCUGCUAAUAUUGUUGCCUACAUUUUUAAAGUUAUUUAAUAUUAUGACAAAUAUUUUAAUUCAGUAAUGUGUUGAUAUUUUUAUAUUUAAAAUAUUUAUUUUAAAGUUUAUGUAAAAACAAUAAAAUUCAAAAUCUUAUCUAGCAACAUUAAAUCAAGACCACUAUAACUUGCAUUAUAUUGAUAUCUGCAUGUUCUUCCCAUAUGAUCCUUGAUGAGAUUCAGUCAAGUCAGCACAGGACUUUAAAAAAAAAAAAUUCUAUGGAAUGGAUCUCUGGAUCACUCGGAGAUAUAUGGCAUAUUCCUUAAUGCAUAGCCUGUUCCCUGCCUUUCUUGGUGUGGGUAUAUUGGUGUUGUUAAAAUAAAACUAUUGUUCAGAUUAUUCUGUUUCUUUUUUAAACAUUCCUCAUUGACCUCCUAUCAAAUAUUGCCAUAAUCAACUAAAAUGUACAAUAAAAUAAAACCUCUGACUCAAAAUAUUUUUUUUAACAAUUAUUUAUUUAUUAAUUUUCAUGCCCACUUUCAUGACCAUAAUUCUGUAGAUAAAUACAUAAAUGUAACAAAGAAUAAAACCGUUAAUCAUACAAACGGAGUUGUAAAUUGAUUGAGUGCAAUUAUCAUGAUCUUUGGGUUCGUAAUGUAAUUUUGUAGCAUUAUUAGAGUAUUGUAGCUGUUCUGCGCAGCACAAACACUGUUUUAAAGCAUCUCUGUCAAUACCUUUUCUCCUCACAUUAAUUAUCACUGGCCCACAUUAUCCUUUUGCCCUAGAUCAUUUAUUGUAAAAAAAAGUCUUUUUCCUUUUUUUUUUUGCACAAUGCUGGAUCUUUAUCAUCAGUUCCUGCCAUUUUCACUGCUCCAGUAAUGACUUGGGUUGUUCAGUUUCCCAUUCCCUUCUUUGCUGGCAACCCUAGGCAUCCCUUCUUCAUAGCUCAUGUCAUUAGAUGAAGGAAACAACCUGAGCGUUUUCACAGAGGAUGUAUUCUGGGAAAAUAGACUGGACAAAGGAAAUGGAGCUUCAACUACGCUCUGCUUAUUGUCAGGGUGUGUCAAGUACUGUUAUCUACAUAAGGAAAAAAAGUCUACUUUCUCUUGAGUAUAAAUUGAAAACUACAAAAUAUAAAUUAAAAAGGCAGCAUAUGACAGACAGACAUUGAAAGAAUUGGUUCUAUAAAUGUAAGGCGAGGUGACAGAGCUGCUAAGGUUAUAAUGUUUUCUAGAACCCAGAAUACUACCUCCUUGCCUUUAAAGACGCUUACACUUUCUGGGGGGGCAUUGACUUGUACGCAAGCACUCACAGGCAACACUGGUCUUUUACUUCACUCCAAGUCCUGAUAGACUUCUCUGUUGGAGAUAUGUUCGUUUUACAAUUUUGUUCUCACUAUGAUCAGUCUAUCAGGGAUUCAAUAAUUUGUCUUCACAUCGGAUAUACAUAAACUUUUUUUUCUCCUCGUCAUUUUUGUUUUACACAAAUUGAUUUUACGUUGUAUUGCAUUGUGGUGGUAUAUAUAUUUUUUUUUAGAUAAGUAUUUUGUCAGUUCAUAUGUUGGAUUUGUAUUAGGACAUGUCAGUCGUCAUAUGUUUUCAAGUUACACAAGUUGUAACUUCAAUGUGAUUGUUUAAAAAAAAAAAAAAAAAACAACAGCAUUUUUACACACACUAGCACACAAACCGAUAAAUAGAUACACACUCAUUCUUCCUAGGCAUACAUAUAAAGGACACAUAAAUUCACACUUUUCCACACAGAGACACAAAGACACUCACAUUUACACAUAGAUACACAGUGACACACCCAAACUCCACAUACAGAUAUACGACACUGCCACACAGAUAUACACACACACUACCACACACAGACAGAAAUAUAUGAAUAUAUAUUUUUAGCCAUCCUCUUGUUUGCAUACCUUUUGAGUGCAUGAGGUUGCCUUCCCUGGAGUCUGAUAAGAGUGAUUCCUCUACUCAAAGCAUCCAUUGUGCACUGGGACAAAGUACCUGGAAAUCACAUCUUCUUAUCACUGCCAGGCAAGGGAACAAGUACGCGGUUCUUUGUAUAUUGCUACCACAUCCCAUCUGAGACACAUUUUUUUUUCUAAAGUAAACAGUCAGAUUUUCAUGUCACCAUACCAAUAAUUAGAUCUGAAAGUACAUAACUGGCCCAUGCAUCUGCUGAUUGCAAUCGCACAUUAUUAUCUAUAAUAAUUACCAAGAUCUUCUCAUUUACAGUUGCCCUAAAUUGAGUUAUUAGUUGCUUGUGUGUUUCUCAUCCCAAAUUCACAACUUUGCAUUUAUUUAGAUAAAAUCUCACCUGCCCAGAUCUCAGGUAUCCAUCUGUGGAAAUUUUCUAUUUGAGGGAACCUUUAUAUAGUAUUCAUAUAUAUUUAAAGAAUUAUUUGUGGACAAUAGGCCCCCUUCAAUCCACUCCCCUUGUGUGUUUAAAAAUUUAUGUUUAAUAAAUACUACUUACCUCAUUUCCAGCGUUGAGACUUCUCUGCAGUAGCCUCUAGCCAGGGCCGGAAUAACAUAGGGGCUGAUGGAGCUGCAGCUCCAGGCCCAGGCCCAGGCCCAUGGAAUAGGCCCAUUGAUUUAAAAAAUCUACUACUCUUAAGGUUUCCAUCUGGCUGGUAUUUUAUUGGCACAGCCAGUAUUUGAGGCUGCCUGGCCGUUGCCGAUAUUGCAGUCAUACUGGCAAUACAAAUGCUGGUAUUUUUCUCAGUAUAAACAGAGAUUACGAUGCAGUACCAGCACUGGCCAGUAGGGAUCACUGUGUGUGGAGAGAGACAGGGAUAGGAAGUCCCAGCAUAUCUCUACCUGCUUAUCUCUACUCACUGAUCCACAGGGGAGCAACUACAGAGAGUCCAGACAGCAACUCCCACCCUGCAGAGACAGCCUACAGCUCAGAAAAGUGAUGAAUGGGGGGGAAUGGCUGCAAGGAGACAUACACUGAGACACUAAGGGACAUUGGGAGACAUUAUGACACAGACACUGGGAACACAGUGUCCCCAGUGUUCCCAUGUCUCCCAGCCAGUGUCCCUGGUGUCUCAGUGCCCCAUAGUCUCCCAGUGUCUCAGUGUCCCCAUGUCUCCUAGUGCCCCUAUGUCUCCCAGUGCCCCCAAGUGUCUCAAUGUACCCAUGUCCCCCAGCCAGUGUCCCUAGUGUCUGUGUCCCUGGUGUCUCGGUGUCCCCAUGUCCCCCAGCCAGUGUCCCUAGUGUCUGUGUCCCCAUCCCUUCAAGUGUCCCCUAUUUUCCCAAUAUCCCCAUGUGUCCCAGUCAGUGUCCCCAGGUCUCCCCAUGUUCCUAGUGACAUGGGGACCCUGGAAAACAUGGGGACAUAGACACAUGGGAAUUUUGGGGGACACAAGGAGACAUGGAUCACUGAGACCUGGGGUAAUUGACACAUGGGGACACUGAGUCAUGAGGACACUGAGAAACAUGGGGUGCCCUCUGGGACACUGGGAGAAAUCCAUCUAUACAGCAGAAUCAAACCAAGUAGUUUUUGGGUGAUUUUACAGUAUUUUCUUUUAUGUCACUCCUUGUGAUUUACAUCGUGUGAUGUCACCCAUACAUAAUUAUGCAAAUUAGUAAGGCCGGUAUGUUUUUCCAAGAAAGGUGGCAACCCUAACUACUUUUCACGAACUCUUGCUUAAGUAUAGAAACUUAAGAGGGAUGGGAACAAAACUUGUGUGGACUGGCUGACAAUGAAAUUAGUUAAAGGAACACUAUAGUCACCUAAAUUACUUUAGCUAAAUAAAUUUCACUGCUCAAUUCACUGUCAUUUAGGAGUCAAAUCACUUUGUUUCUGUUUAUGCAGCCCUAGCCACACAUCCCCUGGCUAUGACUAAAAAAAACAAAACUGGUUUCACUUUCAAACAGAUGUAAUAUACCUAAAAUAAUUGUAUCUCAAUCUCUAAAUUGAACUUUAAUCACAUACAGGAGGCUCUUGCAGGGUCUAGCAAGCUAUUAACAUAGCAGGGGAUAAGAAAAUCUUAAUCCUAAUUAAACAGAACUUGCAAUAAAGAAAGCCUAAAUAGGGCUCUCUUUACAGGAAGUGUUUAUGGAAGCCUGUGCGAGUCACAUGCUGGGAGGUGUGACUAGGGUGACUAGGGCGCUUCCCUCCUGUCAGCCCCUCUCCUCAUGCUGCGCCCGGGCGGUGCGGUGCUCCCUCAUGGACGCACCAGCCCGGGCAAAGCUGCAGCCGCCUGAGGCUCUCUGCAGAGCGCUCGGGGGGCUGCAGCAUGAGGGUCAUGCCACCCCCCACCCAGGUAGCACCCGGGGCGGACCGAUCCCUCCGCCACCCCUUAGUACGCCACCUAACCACUGGUCUCACUGAUCUUAUUGAGACCUAGCUAUUGUCUGACUCUUCAAUAGGAGGGAGUCUGACAAUAGACCAAGCUGUCAUUGAUCUGCAAAGCCUGUUAGCCCACAGUGCAGAGCUGCAGACACCUUAUGUGUCCAGUACAUGAUUGGAUCAGCAUGUACAAGGCUAUUACUGGACUGCUUCACAAUAAGGCAAUCCAACGGUAUUACUUGGUUGGCCCUCAGGCUGUGUGAUCACCUUGGGAGCUAAUCACAUACCGUAUAACAUACCGUAGCUGUAAGUUAUUGUGCCUGCUUCUCUCAGUUUGGUGAUCAAUAUAUUAAAUAGUUUGUUGUUCAAGUGUUUGUUAGAGUAGAUAUUUGUAAGGUUUAGUUGGUAUUCGAGUUAACUAGGGUUAGGGUUAGUGUUAGGUUGGGUUACUUAAGAGUUAGGGUUAUGGAUAUUUAGUAUUAGGGUUGUGGUUUGCUAAGGUUUGGAUUGUGGUUAGGUAAGAUCACAUAGCGUUGGGGUUAGAUACAGUUAGACAUAGUGUUGUUUUGAUGCUAUUCUGUAGGUUGUAGGUCACAAACAGAUGCUCUUUGAAUUAAGCCACGUCAGAAAUAGUGUAUAUCUAUAGUGUAUUAUGUAACACAAAUCUGGGGUCUAUGAAGUAGGUAACACACACUGCCUGGGAAUUUCAUAAUAAAUAGCAAUAUAUAUGAGAAAAAAAUAAAAUGUACCACUAUAUUUGUAUGAAAUGGCCAAGUGGAGAGGUUCCAUUUAAAGUAACCCAAUUUUGCAAAUGGUCGGAGUAAAGUGCAGUUGGGUUCUUUUAUUUUGUCUCAAAAAGGACAGGUGCUGAGAAAUAAAUCAGUCAAAACUGGAAAUCUGAAAUUGUCAUGCUUGCAAUUUCAUCAUAUAACUUCUAAAAAAUCUGUGUGAAGUGUUGCUAAACAUGGCAUCGGGACAGUAGUAGAAGGGGUUAUGGUAAUAGGACAUUUAAGGUCUGUGAAAUUUCACACAAAACUGAAUAACACAAAAACAUUAAAUACAACAAGCAGAUUUUGCAAAGUUUAAUGAUAAAAUAGAAAGUGCCAAAAUGCUUUUAGUUAAGCUCUCUGGGGGUUAUAUAUAUAUAUAUAUAGGCCUGUAGUUGUGGGAGGGGCUUGGGUCCUCUUUAUAAGGGCAUCCAGUCCUCUCUCACUUCACUAUGGUUGACCUGGCGAGUUGCAGGCUGAUGAGACUGCCUGGUUCAGUACAAAACCAUCUACUUCCAGUUCAAAGGUCAUCAACACAAACUGCCUAAACCCUAAACAAGCUGGUCUUGGCCCAUGCAAGUAUAUGUUUGCCUAACUCUAGUGAACAGCCACCUCAUUAGAAACACAUGGGGCACUGCCGCAUCCAGCCCAGCCUCGGCUUCUAUAACUGUUGUUUUUACAACAAAACCGUAAGUUUGUUUGUUCAACCUUUCGGAUAUGGCAAAUUUUACUAGUAAUGCAAAUUCAGUCUAUUUUAUUUGCACAUAGCAUGCUUCAUUCUGCUUGCUGUAUUUGGCCCUCACUAGGCCAUAUCGACUUUUAUCAUAUGCAUUUUAGUUAGUCACCCUGCAAUUUAAUGUUUCUCUCUACAUUUUAAAGUUUUCUUUGUCUGUCCUGGGUAUUCAUGCACUUUUGAGCAUUCAUUGUUUAGUAAUUAUGUGGCUGGGUCUUGCAACUGACUGUCUAAAUUUAUGUCAGGCCCAAACUUGGACCUAUACAUGUGGUAAAGGAAAUAAAAUAUAAACGUGUAUCUACAUUCUAUGUACACAUACACGUAACAUUCCUUAUUUUCUGUACAGGGAAAUAUCUUCUAAAUGUCAUAAAUUUUCUUACUAACAGACCUUAAAUUUAUAAAACUGUAUCAUAUGCAUUUCAGUUAAUCAUCCUACAUUUUAAUGUUUCUCUGCGAUCUGGGUAUUCAGGUACUCAUUGGGCCAACAUUGUUUAGUAGAUAUGCCCCAAGGGACAUUUUGCAUGCAUUUAAUUAUGUAAUUUUCAUUGGGGUAUAGUCUAAAACUGCUAGCUAAGCCUGCAGUUCUCUUGUCUGCUGCCUCACCUCCAAUGUGGUUUCCCUGUACCAUCGUCUCAUGGAGGUCCUGCCUCUGCCAAGUGCCUGUCUGUUCCACGAGGUCUGCUCUCUACUCAGUAUGUUUUCCUGCUGGGUUCUUCUCGGCACACCAUCUGGUCCGGGGGCCUUGGUAAAUACCCGUUGUGCAUGGCAUGCCGGUCCACUACCUGCCUUGGCUGACCUAUGGGAUGUCUACCUCUCUCCUGGUGCUCUGCCUGCUGGUAUGGUGUCUGCCACUCUCAUGGUUCUCGGCCUGCUGGUAUGGUGUCUGACACUCGCGUGGAGCUCAGCUGGUAUGGGAUUUAGCACUCUCAGUGCUCUGCCUGCUGGUAGGUUUGCCAUCACCAGUCUGUUUAUUGGUCGGACCUCUGGGGCGUUUGUUAAGUCAUGCAGCCUGUCAAUGGUAUACACCAGGGGUAGGCAACCUACGGCACUCAAGGUGUCUUUGCACGGCACUCAAGGCUGCUACAGCCAAACAGGCUCUGGCCUAUCAGGAGUCCCAGUGAAACUUCACAUAUCUGCUAACAUGAAAAGGUGGUGAAGGACAAUCCUCAAUUUAUGCAUUGCAGAUCACUUCCUCCCAGCACUUGUGAAUGGGAAUCCACACUGUAGUAGAGCAGCCUGCAGAUGCUGUUGCUGCUCCUGUCCUUGACCUGUACCUGGCCAGCUUGGUCCCCACUGGAACCCAGGGAAGCCACAUACACACUGCUAGAUUUACACAAAAAUGCACAAUAACCCUCCCCUCAUACAAAUAAUACUAACAGCCCACAAACAAACAUACAUACAAUCCGCACAAACGUAACCCGCUAACAAUCCACAUACAUGCACACAACCCCACAUGCAAUACCCCAAACAGCCCCCACACAUACACACACACUACCAUACACACAAUGUGACAUAUCCAUCUACACACACAAUUCCACAAGCAGCCCCAUACACAGCUUACAUUCAUAUGUAUCAUACACGAUACCACAAACUACUCCUGAACAUAUACAAUAUAAUAGCUCAUAUACACACAAAUAUACAAAGCAAUUACAGUAUAAAUUACACAAGCAGAAUACGGCAGCAUACUCACCUCAAUUUAAAAAAAUUGGACCGGCACGCUACGGGACAUCACAAUCCUAUAUCGGCACAGUGCUGCUAAAAGGUUGCCUACCCCUGGUAUACACUUUAGUUCUGUCUGUGUAAUUGUUAUUCCCCCAUGAUUUGUUUUCUGAUUUGAUACAGGAAGUGUGUGUAUAUAAAAAAGUGUUUGAAGGGCACAACCUUUGAUGUAAAUAAUUGACCUGUUAAAGAAAAAAGCAGCUGCGUGUAUUUUGCUAUUUCUAGUGACUCUCCGUAUGGUGUAAUUCUCUGUUCUGAUUCUGCGAUUGGUUUUAUCGUCUGGUGCGCCCCUGCUCGCUCAUCUGGUGUAAUUGCCUGUGCCUUUUAUUUAUUUAGUGUUUUCAGGAUUGAGGUUCGCUCUCUUGUGCCUCUAACAUGCUCGCUGGUAUGCACUUGUUACUGGGUCUCUGGCCCUUGACCUGUAUUGCCUGAUGGUUCUGCACCUCUUGUCCUUUCUGGGUUGGGCACAUUUUGCACUUCUUUUUGCCAUGUUCCUAUACUCUCCUCUGUUUCCCUCCUCUAUGAUUUAUACCUGGAUUUCGCUAAUCUGCGUGACAUGCUUGUUCUGCCAGGGAGCUCAUCCUUCCUGGCAGCGUUUGCCUGUCUUGCCUCGUGUCCUCCAGUGGGGUAGGUUAAUUUCUCUUAUUUCGGUCCUCGAUCUGGCCCACGCUGUAUUAUACGUUCCCGGUUCUACACAGCUCCACGAUUUGGCCCACGCAGGCGAUCACGUUCUCUGUCUCCAUUCUAAAUGGAUCCACAGUCCAGCCCACACAGAGGCAUACAUCCUCAGACUCCAGUCUGAUUGGGUCCACGACCCUGCCGCGCAGAGGCAUACAUUCUCGGACUCCAUUCUAAAUGGGUCCACGAUCUGGCCCACGCUGAGGUCCCCUAUUAGCAGAUAAGUGCUGGUUGUUAGGGAUCUAGGUGCCCACUAUGGUAGGUUUCUGGCUUCUAUGCCAUAGUCCAGUGGUCCCGCGAGGUCAACACCCAUCCUCAUACUCGGAGGUACCCCAAUGCCAUCAGCCCAAUGCAUAGUUAUUUGCCUCGCAUUGCUGCCUAGGGAGGGCCUCACCUGUCACUCCCAUUCUAUCUUAUGCUUUAGUAGUCACUGAGAGGCCAUCACCCUGUCACUUGUGUCUCGGUGGCCUCCAUUUCCCCUCGGGCCAAUGCAAAGAUAGAGCCUCUCAUGCUGCUUGGCAACUAGCAGGGCCUCACCUGUCACCCUCAUUAGUUGAAUUCUUUGCCACUUGGCAAUAGCUAGACUGCCGGUAUGUUAUAUGGAUCAUACAAAUGGUGGCUUUGUAUAAUCCGUAUGUCUCGAGUUCCCAAACCACUUGGGUACCAUCUCUACCCAACACCUCUGCAAGGUCUGGGCUCUAUCUCACAGAGUAUACAAAGUUAGUCCAGCAUCCCUUAGAGCCGGGACUACUCCACGAAUCACGGUCGGACAUCAUCCUCUUAUAUAUUAUCUGUACCUGAACCGGUUAGGGAUUCAUUAGGCCUUUCAUGUUGUAUCCAAGUAAUAUUGAGUUAUUGUAGAAUAUAUAUAACUUAUUUUUGCCCUCUUUAUUACAAGCCUACUGCAUUGUCGGUUCUGGCACACCACAACCGACUGGUGCUAUUGGCUAAGAUGUGUAUUGCUAAUUAUGUGUUAUCUAACCAUUACGGCAAUAUUGCCUUGACCACAUAUAUAUAUAUAUAUAUAUAUAUAUAUAUUUUUUUUUUUUUUAUUAUUAUUUUUUUUUUUUACAAAUAUAUACUUUUAUUAGAGGUUUUUAAUUCUUUGACUGCUUUUUAUAGUUUUAGCAAAGCAAAUUUUGCAAAUGUUUAGUUUUAAAGCUAUAAUUCACUCCUUGCCUUGCAUAAUUUGUCCUAAAACCAAAAUGUAAUUUAAGUCACGGACACAUUGUAAAAUCAGGACUAAUAUGUAAAUCUAUAUUGAUUUAUUUUUUUAGUUGCACUAUUUGUAUAGAAAUGAUUGUAAGUAAAGCUAUGACAUUUUUUUUUUUUCAUGUUAAGCACUUUAAAAAAAAUAUAUUUUAUUAUAAUAUUGUAGUUUGCAUACAAAUUCGGUUUCAGAAGAGAACCCUAUUAGUCAUUUAAAAAAUAUUUUAUAGUAUUUAUGGGUGCACUUAAUGUGAAACCAGGAUGUCUACUUAACAACAUAGUUUUCGAACAUAGAUCACGCAGUUUGUGAAUGCGUUCCUGUGUGUUUGUUAACUUUUAUAUAGUGCAUGUAGUAUUUCAUAGUAUGAUUAGAGCAUACAUCCCAAAAAUUCAAACAGAUACUAUAAUUUUAGGGGUGUGGCUGAGGAUGUGGAGAUAGGCAAGGCUGUUCUUCAAAAUUUCACUGACUUACUAAUAACUUAAACAUCUAAAAUGUUAUUUAGAAGAACAAUGUAUAGUUUUAGGACACAUUACUGUGAGUAUUAUUGCUAUGUUACACAUUCAGACACACCAACAAUAUGAAACUCUAAGAAAAGGGUGUGGAAAGAGGAAGAGACAUUUGGGCCCAAAAUAUGGAUUGCCCCUACUAAAUAGGGACACUUGGGUAGGGAAGUAUGUUAGAGCAGUGUGAAACUGCAAUUGAAUGGUUGUUUUUGCUGAAAAUUAUUUCAUUUUUUCACGCUCUCGUUUUGCUUUUGUACUUUUCUUAUAUCUAUUACCUUUGUUUCCUUGGCUUUGAUUAGAUAUAGGUGUCUUAUUUUUCUGUUGGUGUAGUGUAAAUUUAAAAUGCAUCAGCCUAUGUUUGUGUAUAUAAUAUGAAUUAGUGUUUUGCUUUAGUUAAUUGGGUAUAUUAAUCACUUGUUAACGUACAUUUCUAGUUGGCGUUACAGAUCUCAUGUUUAACUCUGAUGUUCUAUUUUGAACUACAGUGUGCAGUGCAACAAAUAACAACCUGGAAUUUCAAUCAGAACAGUUCCAAGGAGGUAGAUAUCGGCGCAUUGCUUGUUCUAAAGGUCAGAAAAGAAUAGCUGGCAAAUCCAAC